GGGGGGGAACCUAAUGGAUUUGUCUGAAAAAGAUGAAGGAAGGAAAAUCGAAAGAAGAAGUAGGAUUGGAAAUGUACAUGUUAAGAUUUAGUAACAUUUGUACAUUGGUUUAGACUACCUCCCCGCUCUUUGGCUUUUUCUUUCUUUUAGCAUUCAAUUUCCUUGACCUCAAUAGAUUGUUAACAUACAUGCGCAUAACAGGUUCGAGUUGGAUUCGUCUACAUUCAUUACGCUUUUGAUUUGAACUAAUAUAACCUUUUGAUAAAAUUGAAAUCUAAAUCCAUUAAAUUAGUGAAUUAUUAAGUACUAAAUUUGAUACAUUUGAGUGUAUAUCACAUUAAGCGAUAAGUUGUUGUCUGAAAUCUGAAAUCUGAUUCUAUUAAGUUAAUGAAUUGUUAAGUGCUAAAUUUGAUAUAUUUGAGUGUAUAUCAUAUUAAGUGAUAAGUGCAUAGUUUAUCACUUAUUUUUUGGAGCAAAUUUUGUCCAAAAAAUUAAGUGCCGCUUAGUAAAUUCAGAUGUUUUAAACUUUGAUUAUUAAAUGCGUUUGAAUAUGUUAAAAUUUGAAUUCAUUAAUUUGAAUAUGUUAAAUAUAAUUAUUAAACAUGACAAAAUAGUUUUGCAAACAUUUGGAGUGGUUCUAAUUAACAUAUAAGGACAAUUAUAUUUAUUUAUUGCUCAAAAAUGAAAAAUCUUCGAAAUGUUCAUAUUUGUAACUUUUUCACUACUUUAAAUAAACUCUAGAUUUUGGCAAAUAAAUCAAAUCUGCAAGCUGACUUAAAUCCACUUUGAGGCACUAAAUAAAAAUUUCCUUUAUCGGCUUCUAAUUUCUCUUUGACUAGAAUCAUUUCCCAAAAAAGGAAAACAAAAAAUAAAUGAGUAAAAGAAAGAGGAAUUCCGUAAUUAUCUUAAAAGCUGGGGAGCUUUAUGAUAUUCAGUCUUUAGUUUGAGUACGUAUAUAGUAAACCGGAGCCCAGUUUAUCUAUUCGCAUAAUCCUAAUUAUCAUACGCGGAUCUAACCAAGUAGCCUUAGAAUCCAAAUUCCCUUGUUCUUCUUCUUCAACCCCCCCAAACCCUAACCCUAAAAACUGGAAAUCUCGUCUGAUUUCCAAUUUAGUGUUUAACUGAAGUCGCUUCGUUUCGAAUUUCAGCUAAUGGCGAGCGGCUCCAAUGAACCCACGCGUCGCAAGCACCGCCGCUCUCCUUCUGACGACGAGAACAACGACGCCGAAGCACCUUCGAAACGGCGGAAGCACCGCCACCAUAAACAUCACCGGCAUCAUCGCCACCACCAUCACCACCGCAGCAAGAAGGAGGACAGAGUUGAGGACGCAACAGCUGAAGCUGAAAUCGAGAUGGAAGAGAAUCUAGAAGAGGAACGGAAGAGUAAUGAGAAUGCGGUGGUUGAUGCUGCAACUGGUGGCACAACUAGUGCGGCUGUUAUUUCUGGUUCAGUUUUGGGGAUUGAUUAUGAUAUGGAAGAAGGAGAGAUUGUUGAUGAGGGUGAGGGUGGUGGUGGUGGUUCUCGUAUCGAUGGAGAUGAGGUGAAAAAGGAGAAAGAGCGUGGUUCUGAUGUGGAGUCUGGAGAGAUUGGGGCUGUUCGCGGCGGCCAUUCUGACAAUUCUCACAUGGUGUGUUCAGAUUCCCCUUGCUUUUUAUUUAUUUUGUUAUUUUUCUUGGGAGAGUUUCAUUUCUGUUUGUAAAGUUUAGAAAUUAAGCUGUUUGGUUGCGGAGAAAAUUAAUGGAAACCUUCCCAUAUGGAAAUUGAAAGUUUGUUUACUCGUCUGGAAUAUCAGCUUUUGUGUCUUUGGCGUGGUCAAUGUAGUAUGCUUCCAAAGUUUUCGCUUCCUUGUGUUUCUCCUGCUGAACUUAAAUAUGAAGUAUGCUUACAUUGUGCCUUUGACCCUUUUUUACUAGAACCCAUUUUACCCACUUUAAAUGCCGGAUUUAUAUCUUUAUUUAUGUAACAGGCAUAUAAUUAGGAUUUUUUUUACUCCUGGUAUCAAGAUUUGUCAGCAAUUAAACAGGAAGUUAUUCAAUGUGUUUUAAUUUGAUAUUUUGAUCAUAUCUAAUUAAAGAGUUUACUAAUUGUUUUCUGCAAUUGCUAGUGGAGUCAUCGGUUUUGUUGUGAAAUUUUAGUACAUGUUUUCCACCAAACGGACAUGAGAAUUUGAAUUCCAUCUGGAGCUGUGCACUCCGGUUUUACAUUUUUUCCCAGGCAAAAGUUCUAUAGGAGAUUCUGAAGACAGAUGGCUUUCAGUGGAUUUGUAAGAACAAAUUUUAUGGUUAUUUAUUUAUUUAUUUGUGGGGGCAUACUUUGUUAACUUUGUUUUGCUUGGACAUAGUAGAUUUGAGGUUUGUGUGGUUAACCAGCUACUUUGGUUGUGUUCUGCAGAAGGUGGAUGUAUAUCAAGAGGGGAAGAAUCGUACCUGUUGUUUGCCUUCUGAAGAAGGUAUGAAUGAAGAGGAUGGAAAGAUGGGGGCAUCGAGUGAUUUUAGGAUUGAUGGGGAAGAUGAUGGAUGUUUUGCGAGGAAGAAAUAUAAUGAUUUGGGUCAGAAAAGAACUUCCAGAACUGAACAUAUGUCUAAUGGUGAGUUUGUGCAUGAAUACCGUAAGGAUGAGUUAACUGUUGAAGAACAUAGUUGGAGAAAUGACUACUCUAAUGAAGAAAGUAUUUUGAGGGAGACUAAUGAAUUGUUAGCUGAAGGUGGGCAAAAAAGGGAUUUCUCAAGGUCACCGUCACGGGACAGACACCGUGAAAGGGUUCGAAGUGGGAGCUGUCCAAAGUCACGUGAUCAGUCUCGAGGAAGGUCUAGGUCGCAAAGCAUUUUCCGAGAGGGUUCUUUACUCAAUACACCAAAAACAUAUAACGAUUAUUCACGAAGAAAGAAUAGGAGUGAUUCAGAUGAGGAGCAUGAAUCCAGCAGGGAUUACCAACCUGCCAGCAGAGAAUCAUUUAGGGAUGAAGAAAGGAGUUACAGCAGACACAGUAGUCGGUCAACAAGGCAUCAUAGUCGAGAAAUGCGGGACAGGGAUAGAGAGGGCAGCCGGGAUGUGGACAGAGACAGGACAAGAGACAGAGAGCGAGAGAGGACAAGGGAGAAGGAGCGGGAGAGGGAAAGGGCUAGGGAGCGGGAGAAAGAGAGGGAGAGGGAAAAGGAGAGAGAGAGGCACAGGGACUGGGAGAGGGAGAAGGAGAGGGAAAGGAGGAGGGAGCGGGAUAGAGGGAGCAGCCGAGAUAGAAAUAGGGACAGAAAUAGGGAUAGAGAUAGUCAAAGGUCCUUUAGGAACUCUAAACACAAUCACGCUGAUGAUGGCUAUGGUGAGCAAGAUAGGAUUGAUGAUUACAGGCAUAGGAGGCACGAUGAAGCCGGUCACAAGGAUAGGAUAAGUGUAAGUGAUACUGAAAAAAUUGAUGGUUCUAAGAAGCAUAUGGCUGGAAGGGAAAAUGAGAAGUCUGGAAGGUAACUUUUUGCUCAAUCAGUAUAUUGAAUAUGAUCAGCAUCCUUUUCCUCCUUCCAUCUAAUGUUUGAUUUUUUUGAUCACAGAGAUGAAAAUGAACAAGAAGACUACCAAGAAAAAAUUGUGUUGCGACUAGCAGAACAGGAAGAAGAUGACCUUGAAAGAAUUAAAGAGGAAAGUAGGAGGCGAAGCGAAGCUAUACUAGAAAAAUAUAGAAGUCAGAAAUCACAUCAGCACUCCGAAGCUAAAAUAGAAAAUACAGGUAAUAGUAUUUCUUUUGCCUUAUUUGUAUUAAUAGGUUUUCUUUGUUCUAUAUUUUUUGUACUUGAUUCCUUUGGAGUGCAGCAGCAUUGGUUUCUUGAAUACCUAUUUUUCAUGGCUUGAUUUUUUUCCUUGGAGUGAGCUUUUAUGUGAUAGACAUUUGAUUUUUUUUUUCUCAUCUUGACUUUCCAUGGGCAUAUGCCUUGUCUUUUUAUCUACUAUUCUCCUGAAAAAAAUUUGUUUUUCUGGAACAGUAAAAGAGCAAGGAGAACAGCCAUUAGUGAUGGUACCAUCUGUUAGUGUUGCUCUCGAAUCUAAUUAUCUUCGAAAUGAGGGCCAAGAUGACUAUGUUGCUGACCCAUCCUUUUCUGUUGGAAAAUCCCCUCCACCAAAUGGGGUUUCUACUAUUGAGAAGCCUUCUGAUACUGGUGGACUCGGAGCCGGUACUCCAAAGGUGGGUUGAAAUUUAGUAGGCAGCUGGAGAUAUGUGUCGUGGACUGCAUUGUUUCCCCUAGCUGCUCAAUGUCCCCAUUGUCAGCUAUAUGUGUCUCCAAGUUGGUUGCUCGUAUUUGUAAAUUUUUUAGAAUUUUUUUUCAAAAUUUUUGUCUAAUUUAUUUCUCACAAUUGGCUAAACCUUUGCUGUUUGUGCCUGAAUUAUUCAACUUUGCAGAGUGAAAGACCUAAUGAUAUGUUCUCUGAUGAUAUAUUUGGAGAGUCUCCUGCUGGUGUUCGUAAAACGGUAAGCCUUAAUCUGCCACUGUCUUUUGCAACUAAUAAAUUCAUCGCUUCUUGUUUGUUCUUAAGCUGGCUAACGUUUUGGUUUAUACUGUCCUUUCCUGUAUUUCUGUGGUGGCCUAAAUUCAUGUUUUAUUGUCGAUUGAUAACUUCUUAUUCCUUCAUUUUAUUAGCUCGUACUUAUUGAUUAGCUAUCAAAUAUUUUCCUCAGGGUAAGGGUGAUGGUUUAGCAAUUGAAAGGAGUGGCCUACAUGACAAUUGGGAUGAUGCAGAAGGGUACUAUAGUAAGUGUCUGAAAUCUAGAUUUAUUCUAUCACACGGACUAAUUUCUUUUUGGAGCUAAGUUGUGAUAUUAACUAACUGUUCAUUUGAUAAAGUAAUUUCUUAAGUUUUUUUUUCUUUCUAAUCUUUUUACUGCUUGAACGUCAAGUUUAUUUCUUAAUUUUCAUUUUGUGCUUUAACAAGAGGUACAUUUAGAUAAAGAAGUGAUGAGUUUCCUGUUUGUUCCUUUUUGGAGUGUCUGGUACAACAAGUGAAUCUGCUUGUCUUUUUAGUUCUUCUGGACUGUCUAUUGAUUAGGUGAAUCUGAUCCUCUUAAUUAUCCCUUUUGAGGAGUGUCCGGUUCAAUAUUAAUCUGCUAAUCUUGAUUGUUCCUUUUUCUUUGCAGGCUAUCGGUUUGGAGAAUUACUUGAUGGUCGAUAUGAAAUCAUUGCUGCACAUGGCAAAGGUGUCUUCUCUACAGUAGUUCGUGCUAGGGAUCUUAAGGCCAAAUCUGGUGAUCCUGAAGAAGUAGCGAUAAAAAUCAUUCGCAAUAAUGAGACCAUGUGAGUAAUUAAGCUUUUCCUUGCUUUAGUUUCUGACUUUAGCUGUUUAAUAAUGCAUCCUUUAGUCCUUUGUCUGUCAGAACUGAUUCUUCUUUUUCUGUUGCGCUGUUAGGUUGAAGGCUGGCAUGGAUGAACUGGUUAUAUUAAAAAAGUUGGCUGGUGCUGACCCUGAGAACAAACGCCAUUGUGUUCGUUUUGUUUCCAGCUUUAAGUAUCGGAAUCAUCUCUGUUUAGUUUUUGAAUCUCUUCAUAUGAAUCUUCGUGAGGUUUUGAAGAAGUUUGGUCGUAAUAUUGGGCUUAAAUUAACUGCUGUAAGGGCAUAUGCAAAGCAGCUCUUCAUUGCACUGAAACAUCUAAAGAAUUGUGGUGUGCUUCAUUGUGAUAUUAAGCCUGAUAAUAUGCUGGUAAACUCAAUUAUCUUCAAUAUCUUUCCCUUCUAUACCUCUUUACCCUGGUCUUCUUUCUGAUACUAACCUAUUUAUUCUUUUUGCUGUUUCCUAAGGUGAAUGAAGCAAAGAAUGUAUUGAAGCUUUGUGACUUUGGCAAUGCCAUGUUUGCUGGUAAAAAUGAAAUUACUCCAUAUCUUGUGAGUCGAUUUUAUCGUGCCCCAGAAAUAAGUAAGUCUGUUUCUUUGUCAUUUGCUUUCUAAGAAGGACUUGAUUGCCUGAUCAACAUUAGUUAUUUUACUGCAAGCUGAGUUCUAUUACAUUAAGGUAUUUAAGCUUUUAUUUUUUUAUUCUUCUUAGUUCUGGGUCUGCCAUAUGAUCAUCCCAUGGAUAUGUGGUCAGUUGGUUGCUGUUUAUUUGAGAUUUACACUGGAAAAGUUCUUUUUCCUGGUUCUACAAAUAAUGACAUGCUUCGCCUUCAUAUGGAGCUUAAGGGCGCAUUUCCAAAGAAGAUGGUUCGUAAGGUGAGAGACAGCUUUAUAGGUGUUUGUUUGUUUUUCCUCUAACAUUAAAUCAUGAAUUUAGGGCUCUUGCAUCUCUCUUAUAGUGUUUGAGAUGUUACAUGGAUACCUCAUUUUUACACAACAGAAAUGAGGAGUUGAGAGUUUAUUCUGUGGCUUGUAUCUUUCAAAUAUAAUUCCUUCACCAUAUUUUCUUUUGAUAUAUAUGCUUCCUUUCUCGCUCUUUUAGCUUUAAGAAUUGGUCUCUUUUUCCAGAAGAAUUUAGUGAAGUUUUAUUUGUUCUCAACUUUUUUUUUUACUGAUCGCUUUUUUCCUAUUUUGUUGCUACAGGGUGGAUUUAAGGACAAGCACUUUGAUCAGGGGCUGAAUUUUCUUGCCACUGAGGAGGACCCUGUCACAAAGAAGGUAAUCAUCAAUUUGGUUGUGUGAUCCUUUAGGGUUUUCUAUUUGUGAUUAUAUGCUUUGUAUUACUUGCAUUUCUUGUUCUUGUCUGUUUUUUUCUAAUAAACUUUAUAUAUAUUCUAUUCUGUCAGGCUGUAAAGAGGCUGAUUCUUAAUGUUAAGCCAAAAGAUUUUGGAACUUUGAUUGUGGGUUCUCCUGGUGAGGAUCCAAAGAUGUUAGCCAACUUUAAAGAUCUUCUUGAUAAGAUAUUCAUGUUGGAUCCUGAUAAAAGAAUCACUGUAUCACAAGCAUUGAGCCAUCCAUUCAUCACUGGCAAGUGAAAUAUUGAUGCUGAUUUGUGACUACCGAAAUGCUGUUGGGCUUGAUAUUUGAAUAUCAUAUGACUGCAUUUAUAUAUUGUUCUCUAAUCAUUGGGCAUUAAUGUCUGUCUUCUUUGUGCUGGCUAUAAGAGCUUUAGAAACGGUGCUUGGCAUGUUGAACGCAAUUGUGGUGAUGUUUGAUUGGAAGACAGCUCGUACUUGGCGCUUCUGUCAGUGGAGUGUUUUCUGUUUCUAUUGUAAGAUAACUCGCCAAAGGCGUAUUUACCUUUUGUACUCAAUCUUAAUGUUGACCAUUAAGAAACUCUUCAGUAGAAUAGUUUCAAUUACUUUCUAUUUUUUAGACUUUCCUCAUAUUGUAUUCCAGAUAUGGUUCCAGUAACUCAACUCUCAGGCUUUAAUGUGCUCCCGAAAAUUAGAUUUGUUGGCAGAAAUAAUUCUUUGUAAAUAAAAACUUAACUUUGGAAAUUUGUAUUAUUCUCUUCAUCUCACUUUUCCCCCCUUCAUUUUCUUUUUCCUUUUUAAUUGCUGAUGAUUGGUUUAUAAGGGAUACUCGCAUUAGAUUAUGGUCCUCUUUCUUGUUUUGUUGCCACUGUUUUUGCUUUUUGCGAUAAUAUAUGGGUCCUGGUGUCUAAUUAAAUUUCUCAUUCAGGGUACCAUCUCUGCUAUGAGGCAACCGUUCAGUGCUUUAGAUGCUUAAAAGUCAACCUGGAGAAGGUAUUUUGGUUUGUUUGCUAGGUGUUUAUUGUGAGACGGAUGAAUCUAUGCUUUUGCAUAUAUUUCUUUGAUGUCAGAUUUGGCUUAUCACUGACGUUCAUUUAAAGCCAUUUCAAGCGAAUCAUUUUGUCAUGUGACCUUGUGUGUCUUGGCUUUUCUUUUGAUUACAUGUAGCGUGUAGAACUUUCUUAGUGGUUGUGUAUACAUAGAAGUGAUUUUGAAAAAUCUAUGGUUCCCAUUCUUACUGAAAGUUGUUUUGAAGCAUUAUUGUUUGGUGCAUGCUGUAAACUGAUUUGUUUUGGCAUGAAAUUUAUCCUUUGCUGAGAUCUCUGUGAUUGUGUGCGUCAUUUCUGUUUCUUUGAUGGUCCCCAUUCUAAUGAGGUUGCAUUACUUCUGAUCUUUGAUUUGGCCAUUCUGGAGGAAUAUAUGCUUUGGAGGUUAUUGGAUGCUGUUCCAGGUGGAUUUUUUUAGGUGUGUGUCCAAAUCUGAACUUGGUGCAGUUAUCUCAUUUAGCAGAUCUAAUUUCUGGGAAAUAGUUGAGUAAUAUGAUUAUUUGUUUUUGUAGGUUAUGGCAUUGUGAUUGCUGAUAUCCUGUAAGUAUAUUCUUAUUUUUCAUCUCCUUUGUCAUUAGUUGGUUUCUGAUGUCAAGCUAUUUCUGUUUCCAACUAUGUUUUUAACUCCUCCAACCUGUACAUGUGUGAAUUUUUGUAGAUUUAUGCUGUUUAGCAAGCUAUUUCUGAUAGUAAGUUCUUCUUAAUCUAUAUUUUGAUACUUUCCUUUGCCUUGGUCUCUGGCACCUGAGCAGAGUGGGAAUUUUUUCUUUGAAUCUGCUUUUUAUAGAUGGGUUGUUUUUAACUCUUCAUGUUUAUGGGGUAUUAUAGUGGGAUAAAUGUAGACCUGGAGCUGUUAUUAGGCUGAAAGUACAUCCUUGAGGGGAAAGAAUUAGGUCAUGGGAAUUUUGACGUCUAAUUGUUAUAAAUCCUUUUCAAAUCAAUUAUAUUAAGGCAUAAUGUGCAAGUUUUUUCAAGCGAGCGAUUUGUAAUGCUUAUGACUUGCAAGAAAUUUCUAAUAACCUUGUAUCAAGCAUAUUAGAGAGACAUGCGUGAAAUCUUCUUCAGCAAGCAUACAAGUCUGACUUGAUGUGAAUGCAGCAUAGGAUAUACAUUAUCCAAGAUAUGAUAGUCAGCAAAAAAUUAGGUAGAUCAGAGGGAGUAAUGUGGGUUGGUAGGAGUAACAGAGUAGCUUUGUAAGGAAUGGAAAUAGGCUUGGAUGAAAAAAAGAAGCCAAUAAGGGUGUAUAUUGGGCACUUUACAUGUGCCUAUUAAGCCUGAUUACCUGGGCAGUUUUUUGUACUAGGCGAUCGAAGCCUGAUUACAUGUGCAAACCAAUGAGAUGAUCAUUUACUAACAGGUGUUAUCAUAUUUUUCAAAAAAAUAACUGCGUCAAAGAACAAAUCACAGAGUCUAUGAACUGAACUGGUUUUUAGAUAAUCUUUUAGCAACAAAAUAUUUUUUCCAGUCACUUGGCUUUCAGUGCAUAAGCUUGCAGCCUCAGAUUUAGCAUACAUUUGUUCCAUAACAGGCAUUUUGAUGACCUUAGUGGAGUUUGAGCUUUUAAGAUAAGAGCAGUAGGGUAGUGGAACUACUAAAACAUUUUGUAGUGGGAUUCUUGGCAUCCACUUCCAAGUAUACUUGUAAUUUUUUUGGUUGAGCUUCCUUUCUCCUGAGUACUAGAUAACCCACGGGUAUCAGCAUACAUGACGGAUCUUGAUAUGGCAUGGAAAUCUUAAAUUUGACAAAUGUGUACUUGGUAAGUUCAAUUACUUGUGGGUCUGGUGAAUUUCAGAGCGGCAGACAUACUGAGGGUUGAGUCCUCCUUAUUAUAUCUAAUUGUUUUUAGCUUGAUAGUUUUCCGGGGAUGAGGUUACAUGGGAUAAUAUCAUCAACCCUUUUAUUCUGGAAAAUGAGGUUGAGAACUGAAAAAGUGAAUACCCAUGUAUUUGUUGUAGACGAGGUAGGACAGUGGCUACUCUGGUGUUUCUUGCCUUUGAGUAAUACUUAAUAUGGUCAGUGAAAUGCAACAUUCCUUUAGUUCAAUUAGCCUUUUUUUUAAAUGAAGAAGAGAAUGACAGGAGUUGUCAGGUUGUAAUGGAUUUUAGGAACUGAUAUUAGAUUUCAACUGAUAUGAAAUAGAUCACAACUUGUAUGAAUUUGUCAAGGAUGGAGUUUAGGAGUAUUGGUUGCUUCUUUUCUACAUCUGGAUAUUGAUAACUCAGAGAGGAAGCUUUUUGCAAGGAAACACAAGUUAAGCACAGACGACAUGGACAGAAUAAACAGAACAUACCAGCUGGGUCUCUUUUCAGUUUGCUGGCUGUUUGCUCUUGAGAUUAUUUUUGGCGGCUUACGAUAGUUUUUGAUUGCAGUAAGAAAUAAAGGAAGUCUCAGCUGAGUUCAUCUGGUGUGAAUAAAAAAUGUACAAUUUUGUCUUUCUGGCACUUCAUCCCUCUGACCUUCAACUUUUAGGUGCAGAAAUUUGUAAGAAUGCAUGAAUUGCUAUGGCAAGUAAUGUGAUAUUCUUUUGCCUUUGCUGGUGAGAGAUUGGUAUGGUCGGGGAAUUCUUUUGUGCAUUGCCUAGUAACGUGAAGGGUUGUUUUAUAGAAAAAUUGUAGAUGUUAUGUUGGUGUAUUUAGAGUUUUAAAAUUGGUACAUUACGAAAAAGUAAGUACAUAUAGUUUUAAAGUGUUUUUGUCAGCAGUACAUGUAGUUUAUAGUGUUUUUGUGAGCAUGUUGGCAACUCAGCAUCAACGAGAGUGAUCAAGACAUUGCAUUUAUUCAAUCUAAUUAAUACCUGUUUAAGCUAGGUUUUGAUCGAGCAUCUUCUCCAUGCAAGAUUUAGGUUUUGAGUAUCAUAUUCUGCAAGAGUUUGUCCUUGUCAAUUUGCCAGGGUAUCAUCGUCCCCUGGUGAGUGUGUGUCAUUGAGAAGCGAGGAAAGGUAAAUGUUCACUUGCAUAUCAUUAACUAACUAGUAAAAUGGUAUUUGUAACUUACUAACUGGUGGUUACAAUAAUUUUUACGCACAUUUACCAGAGUUAAAAGGUUUUCAUCACAUGCCGCUUCUAUUUCAGCUAUAAUCUGAACACUAUUUAGAGCUGCUCCUACUCCUCCCUGCUGUGGUUGGUGUUGGAUUGGGUUUUGUUAAUAUGGUCUUGCUUUCUUAUACUUCUAUGGAUGCCAUUUACUGGCUAAGUGUUCUGGAUGCAUACAAUUUUCUAGCGCCCCCCCCCCCCCCGGGCGGGUGUCAGGUGUCAUAUGAACCUGUUGUCUAAUUAGAAUGGGUCGGUUAUGCACUGUUGAUAUGUCUUUCUGAAGUCUUUCGUCCUCACUAUUUGUCUGGUUCCCUUUGUUUUGUCUGAGGAAGAUGUUUGAGGGGCUUCAUGCAAAGAUUUUAGCAAUAUAUGUGUGGUUGGUGUGGAUUGAACUUGUCAUCACAUGGAGAGGCUUGAAUUGUUGAUACUAACGGGGCUGAACUAGUUUACUGAUUUUUGGUCAGUCUUCAAAUUUUGGGGUUGUCGUUGCCACUUUGUGUGCUGAAUUAGAAGUGGUUCCAUUUGUCCCGUGAAAUUUGAUGAUAUUUGUAAUAAUGCCGUCUUUUAUGUUGUGCACGCGUAAAAUCCACUGUUUCGGCAGGCUGCUGUUGUUCAGUUGCAAAAGAAAAAAAAAAAAAAUUGCAUGAAUGAAUUUGGUUAAGUGAUGCAAAAUCUCAUCGAGAAUAAUGGGCUCUCUGCACCAAAUAUAAAAUGCCAAUAUCAGUGCGCCGAGCAGGUUGAUUAACUGAGGUUUGUGGCCAGCGCAACUUAAAGGGGCAAUUGAAGUCUAAUAUUCUGCUCGGUAGCAACAGGAGCCUCUCUAUAAAAGCUGAAUGUGAGCUGCUGUUUUCAUGUGGUUUAUUGGAAUGCCAACGUAAAGGUGGCGUCAAACGUGUUUGUUUCAUGCUCUGUGUUAGAGAUGUCUUAUCCACUGGAACUUGUAACGCCUGAGAGGACCUAAUGUUUUGAGUCGGGUUGGUACCCAAUUGCAAAUUGAAAAUUUGAUAUUUUAUCUGAUGUUCUGGUCAUGAAUAGCCGGAUUUCGGGCCGUUGAGCCUUGGAGCUGAAUGAUAUAGAGAAUUGGAACAUGUGUCCGUUUUAAUUCUCAAUCAUAAUAGACUCCAUAGUUGGCUUUACUUUCCUCGUCACUCUUGGCAAUAAGAUAUGGACAUGACUGAUUCAAUUGCCGGCGAGGCUCCUUCCAAUAAAAACCCUUCCCCUUCUCCGUGCCGUCACUCCUUCCACUUUUCUCUAUUCAUUGACCUACUGGGACAGAGUAUAUAUAUGUAUAUGUGUGUUGAUCGACCUAGUCAAGCAAUUGAAGAGACGUGGUCACUGCCUAUGAACAUUCUAGGGAAUACCUGGUAACUGCUCUAGUAUUUAACGAACUUAAAAGACUACCGAGGCUGCUAGCUUGAGAAGUGUAAUUUAUUAGAUUAAUGAAGUUACUGCAUUUUCAAGAAAAAAAGGAAAACUUUCUACAGCGUGCACUGUGCCCUAAUGAAUAAGGGUUAAUGGAUGCAAUUUUGGACUGUAUAUAGCCAAAGGGUCGCGUAAUUACGUGCCCACAUUAUUCAAUUGCGUGAUUUAUAAUUAGACGAUAUCCUGGAUAUGAGAUUUUGCCUUAAAAGGAUUUGUGUAGAUCUGUUUCUAUUUGGGUUAUUCAAAUACCAAUCGGAGUUGCACGAAAAAUGGUGACUAUUCUUGGUUAGGACUGAGCAAAUCGUGCUGCAGCCAACAAUCAAGAGGGGAGAGAUCACGAUUAAACAAUAAUUUGGCAAAGCACUUUUAGGUUUGGUUUCUGUACACGAUACCUUUUUUUUUUUUUUUUUGUCAGUUUGGGGGUGUUCGGACCUAUAUCCGACUACUCCUCCAGCCCCGAGGAGAGUGGGCCCCACCGAUCCUCAGGAAAUUAUUCCGAAUUGCUGAGUUCGGGAUCGAACCCAGGCCGUCUCACCCUAAUGAGGGCUACACGACCACCCGAGCAACCCGUCACCUUGAAUAGCUUGAAUAGCUUGUCAAUUUGAUUCAAAGUCUAGAAGAUGGGAAGACAAAAAUUUCAAGAUGCUGAAAUUUACAUUGUAAUAUGUGCAUUCUUGGAGACUCUCCACUGAAACAGUAACAAUGUGCGUCUUUUUCUAAUCUAGAAGGCAGCACUCGAAACGAAACUUCCAUUUUUCUAGCACGAAACUUCAUGCUUGAAGUUCUCUCGUUGGUGUUGAAGUGUCGUGCCUUUGUUUAGAUUGGUUAUUGGACAACGUUCACAUUAUUAGAUACUUCGAAUGCUAACAAAUAAUGGAAUUUGUGGAAGUAUAAAUAUCUGUUAAAAAAGAAUUCGGGAGGGCGGAUCUGCAGUGGAUUCUUAUUAGUAGCAUAUUUUAAUCUUGCAUUCCUAAAUUAGAAAUCGACGUAUAUUGAGGUAUAGAGAUUUGAACAUGAAAUAAUUUAAACUGUUUCAAGAUAAGGACUUCUACACCAGUCUUUUCUUCUUUGGACCUCUCCUUUCUUUUUCUGAACUUUGCAUUUCAUUGGUUGCUUCUAAAUGGAGAUAUCUAACGCGGGAGUACCUUGACUAUAAGGUGGCUCAGACAGAUGGCGAUGGGUCGAAGCCACUUUUCACCUAAAUAUUUUCCAUCCCAAUCUGUUAUCUAAAUUCAACUUUUUCCCUCGUUAGAAUGUGAAGAAACAUGGCACGUAGUGUUAAAAGACGAGCUAAACUAUUCGAAUUGGAUUUGUCUUGAUAAGACUUCAUCAUUUGCAUUUGAUCUGUCACUAAUCAAACCAAACUUGAAUAGCAAGUUGUAUUUGAUUAACUCUUAAACUGAGGUUAAGUUUGGCUUGAUUAACAUAACGUUAAAACUUAUGUGUUGAAAGUUUUAAACUACUCGAAUUCGACUGAACAAAAACUGAUUUGAAUUCGGUUUAAUGAGCAAACAAGUCAAAUUUAAAUACAAUUUUAAACUUAUAAAUUUAUCAAACAAACUUGAAUAUUAGGGUAUUUCACUUGAUUAAACUUGCUUACAUCCUUAAAGAUACUCAAAUAGUUAUGAUCUAACUUCCUUGUUCCUAAGAAAUUGGGGUUUGGGAGACAAACAUAUUGCUUAAUAAAUGAAUCGAAUCAUAUAACAUAAUAAUGGCUCUGCUCUUUAGAAUUAAGCAAAAACAUAUGAAUCAGAUAUAAGAAUAUUAGCUAUUCAAAAUUUAAUCUGGUUUUGGUAAAAGUUUCUAUGCGCGUGACAACCCUUUAGCGAUUCGCAGAGAAAUUUAUCAACCGAGUCGUAUACAUGGUAAGAGAACCAGCAGGCGUUAAGGAAAAAGCUGAAUUUUCAUUUACGCGAUAAAGUUUGUUUCUGAUAAUGGGUCCACUGUGCAAUAAAUAGUCAGUUGUGAGGUCCAAAUCACAAUAAACAAAAACAUUAGAUAUUAAACAGUGUCGCCAUUAAUACCAGAAGGUUCCUUGUCAUACUUCAAUUUAACUUGAAAUGGUCAAGAAUUUUAGGCCUACACUGCCAUGGCAAUUUUCCUUCUCUUGAAAAAAUUGCCCUGAAAAAAAAAAGAAGAAAGACUUUUAAUCUUACAUCAUCUUCUUUGGAACCCAUCUCUUACCCUUUAAGAUUGUGAAGGGCAAUAUUUUCAUGAUGGACAAAAUUGCUCUGAUGGGGUAGGAGUUGCUCCGUCAUUUACAAUAGCCAAGAAAAGAGGGCAGGUCUAGAAAUUAAGAUACCAUAAAUAUCACCGGGACUAGAAAUAGACAGUGACAAAUUAGUACUCGUAGAGAAAGUCUCUUCAAUUUAUUUACCCUCACAGGAGCGCGUGAAACCACUUUUUCCAUGCAAACAAUUUUUGCAAAUUCUCUAACUAUAUGUCCUUGUAAAUUGAGUGUUAUAAAAUAGUAAGUGAUUAUGUUGUGGCUGGGAACUCUUUAGUGAUUCUCCUGAGCUUUCAUAAAUUCUACAAGAAACCCAAACCCUUAAUCCCAUCAGUUCUUGAUCAUGGGAACAAGUAAUUGCUGGUUUCUUGGGUUGUAUGAUUGACCUUGUACAUAAGUUUAAAAUAAGCUGGUCACCUAAUUAAUUUGAUCUGGUAAGACCCUCUACCUAUGUUGCAUCUAGGGAAGGUAAAAAGCAUUCACAUAAGUACGUAGCGUAUUUUGUUUUGGUCACAAUUAACACUAAGGAUUACUGCAUUUCUUGCUGUUUCCACACACAAAUACACACAGAAAGGCAAAUGGAACAAGCAAUCCCACCACGAAGGUGGUGGAAUUUAAUGUUGAAAGAGGAGAAGAAGAAACAUGCAUGGCAACUAGAACAUUAUUUGGUUAGGAAGGGAAAAAGAGGAGAAUACAUGAUAUAUAGAGGAAAUGCAAUAUUGUGUUUUGGCUUGAUCUUACAAAACGCACUUCAUCUUUUCUUAAUUAAUAUGCUUCAUAUUUGUUCAAUUAGCUAUUUAACGUUUCUAGCUCAGUUUUUGUUCCGUGGGCUAAUUUCUCAGUACUGUGUGCUAGGUACUAAUUAUUUUUUUGUUUCUUGAUCAUGUCAUCCUUAUGCUUAUUAGGAUAAGGAUUUUAUUAGGAUAAAGUAACAUUUUUUUUUUAAUGCAUUAUUAGGUUGGAGCAACAUUUGAGGUGAGAUUCAAGAAUGAUCCUAGGAAUUACUUUUGAAUGCCUUUUAUAUAGAAAACACCGUUCAAUAUCCUAAAACCUUACAGCAAAAUUAUCAUAAAAAACACCUAUAGCAAAGAAACCAUCUGAAUGUAGCCUCAAGCUUCUUUUCCAAAAAGUAAUGAAAAAUGGCUAUUACUAUUUGAUUUAAUCACAAAAUAACAUGCAGGUUACGACUAACGUAGUCCAAAGUUAAAAACUACGACCCUUUAGGUGAAGCAAGAAUGGUAGAAGUGAGAAAAAUACAAAGAACUAGAUACAGCCUGAUACUGAUCAUUAAAAUUAAGAAAAAAAAAAGUAGGUUAAUUAAGGAAAAAAAAUGUUAAAAUAUUUUCUGGACCAUGAAUAUCACCUGUACACGAAUCACCAGCGCGUGCCCCCCUGACUCCCUGGCAAACGAACGAAACCAGCGGCGUUUAAUUUCCUCGAACUUUUAACCUAGUCCUUGCCAAUGACUUAGUAUCUAAGUAAAUCCCCACACGCUCAAUUUCAUUGCAACUGCGCUGAUCUGAUUCACACACACAACACACACUGAUUAUAAUUCCACGCAUAUAUAAACUACUCACAGGAAACAAAUUGUUCGCGUAAAUUACCUUCAGCACCUAAAAGGCGCAAACGAGCCUAGCUAGAUCGUUUGUUUGGGCUCGUUUGUUUCCUUGUGCUGCUGAAUCAUAUACUCAUAUUUGCAAGCUUAGCUGCCACCACUUUUGUGUUCAUAUCAGAAGCUUAGUAAGGCUAGCAACGAUCAAAGACUGAGCAUGGGAAAGAGGCUUGAUGCUCUAUUUGGAAGAAGUUUGAAGACAAACAAAUUACAGGCCAACAUUAAGCUUGGUAUUUCAAGGCUUCCUGUCCUCAAAAACCAGCGCCAGGCUCGUUGCACCGUGGCCCGUUCUGAUGUUCUUCAAUUCCUGAGCCUAGGUCAGCAUGAGAGAGCUCUUCUUAGGGUGAGUGAUUGGCUUUUCUUGAUGUUUUCCUUUCUGUAUUUUUGUUUGUUCUUAGUGACUUUUUGUGCCCAAUAUGGUUCUGUUCUGAUAGGUUGAACAAGUGAUCAAGGAGCAGAACAUGUUGGAUGUGUAUGUUAUAAUAGAACGCUAUUGCCAUCAGUUGACCGAGAGGAUCAACCUCAUUGAGCAUGAAAGGUUGGUUUUUCUUUAUUAAGUUUGACGUGAUACAAGAAGUUGAUUUUUUUUGGUUGAUCAAUAAUGGUAUUGUUUCUUGGCUGCAGAGUGUGUCCUGAGGAAUUGAAGGAGACAGUAUCAAGCUUGAUUUAUGCAGCUUCAAGAUGCGGGGACUUCCCUGAACUUCAAGAUAUUCGUGCAAUUUUUACAUCCCGUUUUGGGAAGGAAUUUGUAGCUCGAGCUGUUGAGUUGCGAAACAAUUGUGGAGUUAAUCCUCAAGUAAAGCUAAUUGACAAAAACAGGCCCAAUGAAAAAUUUGUUUUUAGGAAGUCAAUAAAAAAGUUUGUUUUCUUAUGCGUAUUUGUUGUAUGCAGAUGAUACAGAAGCUAUCUACCAGGAUGCCAAGCUUGGAGAACAGAAUGAUGGUGCUCAAGGAAAUUGCUACAGAGAACAACAUUGUUCUGCAAAUUGAAGAAGUGGAAGUAGAAAUAUCAAAGGUAAAGUAAGCUGUUCUUAUCAAGGAGAGUAAAGGACCAGAGUAUUGUCCUCUAUGUGUAGUGCACAAAGCUCAACUUACUCUUUCAUUUAUAUGAUUUGCAGGCGCAAACGGAGACGGAUACAAAGCAGGGUCAAGCAAAACCAAAAACACCAACUCACUCUGGAGAUUUAGGAAGUGUUGAAGGAUGUUCGGACUCGAUGGAAGUGAGGAAUAAAUAUAAGGAUGUAGCUGCUGCAGCACAAGCAGCGUUUGAAUCAGCAGCUUAUGCAGCUGCUGCUGCAAGAGCAGCUGUGGAACUGUCCCGAUCUGACUCACAUGAUCCCGAUGAUCUAAAUAAUACAAAACUGCAGCCAAGAGUCAUGUCAAGAACUCGUCAGUCAUUUAAAUCCAAUUCCCAAACUGGAGAAGAAAAAGAAAUUGAUGAAGAGAAAGUAGGAAUGGCAUUUGAGAAAAUCCACCCUGCUCAACACUAUUCUUCCGAGUCUGAGGGCGAAAAGAUUAUAGCAGAAAACUUCAAACAACGCAAGAAUGAAGGGGAGAUUAAAAGGUCAUUGUCUACAUCGAGCUCAGAAUCAUUUGAUAACAACUUCAGUGGAACUAGAACAUAUUGCGAUGAUGAGCUUCUGAUGAAGCUAGAGGAAAAGGAGAUAGUUUUUGAUGAAAGUGAUGAUGAGACUAAGGAGAAAAGCAGAACAUUUUUGUCAAGAACCAAAGAUUUAGGUUUAGAAGAUAAGCAAACUUCGCAAAGGAAGAAGAUUCCGGAUUCUGAACAAAGGUAUUCUAUUAAAGGAGAUAUCAACGAAGACGACUUCGGAUUACCUUCCUCUCCAGCUCACAAGCACUUUUCUUUAAGAUCUCACGCUGGCCUCAAGAAGGAAAAAGCGACAGAGAAGUUCAUCAGCUCUCGUGCAGACCACUUGAAUAUGGAGAAGAGGCCAAUUUCUGUCAGAACUAAAAGGACGUAUGGUCGGUGACAAGCUGAUGGAGAUAGCAGAUACUGCCAGAGCACUAAGUAUUGUGAAUUGCACUAAUCUCUCUGGCUGUUUUUGCAGAUUAUAUUUUUCUUUGUUCAUUUUUUGAGAAUAAUGGUUGUUAAUUCAUUAUGUUGGUUUUCUUGGUUACUUGAUUGGUAGGGGGAAGGUUGGGUUGGAUGUUAAGGUGGAAGGGAUUGUGAGACCUCUCAGAUACCCAAAAAAAAAAGGUGGUUACUUGUUUUGUAAAGCUUAUAGCUAUUGUAUCCUUUAUCAAGAUUCAGAAUUUUCAUACAUGAGUUUUCCUUUCAAUUUGAUGCAAAUACCCGUGAAACCAUUACUCCCAAAAAGCUAUUUAAAUGGAAAAAAGAGGCAUAACAUAUUUACCAAGGCUCCAAGCGAAUCAAAAUGUAUUGGACGAAGCUUGGGUGCUGCAGCCUACAGGCAGUAAAACUGAAGGCAUCUUACAAAGAAAAUUUUCAUGGCCGAAUUGGCUAUUUUCAACAGCAGAAUGUACAUACCUACCCAAAAUGCAAGUAAAUGCUAUUGUGGUUAACAAUUUAUCCCAUAACUGCUUUUAAAUAACAAGCUUUUGCCAACAACAAAAGCGAAAAGGUUACAGUCCAGGAGAUCAGAAGUAGAUUUUUUUUUUUUUUUUUUUUAUAAGAGACUCUGAAAUGAAGACUUCGUAUGCAGGAUUAAGAGUUCAUGGUAGUAAAGUAUCGAGCUCUACUGCUUAAGAGUCCUCUAAGCCAAAUUUGAUUUCUACGCUGACUGCAAAACCAUUUGAUUUAUUCCAGUUUGAAAAGGUUUAUCACAUGAUGAAAGUAGAUCAUAUUGAAAUAGCUAACCGGAAAGGAUAAUUAGGUGAAAACCAUAAUUGUCAUCUUUAAAGCUCUUGUCUUGACUGUUGAUCAGACUAAUGAUCUUUCUUCUAAUUUGUUCUAGUUCAAAGCUCAGAUGUAUUCAACUGUCAAUCUGAAGUAUGGUAGAAGUUGUACAGUGAAAAUAAAAACAAAAUGAAUCAAAUGGAAGCAGAAACUUUAUUCACAUAAAAUAGUCAUUUGAGAUCUAAACAGUACCCACACUUAAUGAUAUGUAAUACAAAAAAUUUUCCGCAUAAACCAUGCAAAACCUUUUGUAUACAUACAAGAACAGUGUGCUUUUGUGCAGAAAAAUUACAGGCCUCUGGCACGCUUCUUUCCUUGUUGCCUUAGGUCAAUAAAGGAUUGUAAACUCACUCCAACAUCUUCAUCAUACUCAAUCCCAAGUUCUUCCUGUAAAUUUAAAUGCCAAUUAUGAAGCGAAAAUUGCAGAAUCUGACUAUUACGUUAUGAGCUUAAGAUGUACCUUGAAUUCUUUAAGGUCUUUGGGUGAGUUCUCAGUUAUAGCAUCCCAUAUAUCUUUGAACAUCCUUUUCCGUCUUCGCCACUGGUUUACUGUUUCAAAAUACAUCCCCUCCACAGCUUUUCGCUCUUCUGGAUUGACCAGUGUUACUCCUUCCCUUAACUUAGUCAGUUUCUCUUCCAUAUCUUUUACCUAAAACACAAGUUAAGAGUUCAAACAUUCAUUCUGAAGUUUCUAGUACAGAGUAUCAGGCUGGUAGAGUAAUUGAAGAAUUUCAGUGUCACCAACCUCUUUUCUUAUUUUGGCUUCUUUUUUGUGUACCUCUUCCAGUGUCAAAUUUGACUGCAGAGCUUUGAUUUCUGCAUCAGCAUUAAGAAAUCCAUCCCAUAUGAACAAAAACCCAUGUUCAGCAGCUAAUCAGAAUCAUUUAAAUUGCAUACUCCCAGAUUAAUAACUAGCACAAAAUAUGUGAUUAGCAAAGACGGAACCAAGUCAUUAAUCUUGCUAACAAAAAUAUACAGAGAUUUGAAGAAGACAACCUCCCUCAACUGCACUGAUUGCUUUUCUUUGCCCAUCCAGCUCUUCUUGCAGCUUGAUAUUUUCCUCUUUCAUCUGAUUAAGCUCUUCACCAUUUGGAAUGUCAAACUGAUCUUGUCUAGCAAGAUAGAUCUUCUGCUUUCCAUAUUCCUUGAAUGAUAUCUUUCCGCUAUCAGCAAGAGUAUCUAAAGCUUUCUGUAUUGCCCCCUUUUUGAGAUUGAACUUUUGUAGACAAUCAGCCACAAUUUGUGAAUUCAACGGCUUAUUUUGCUGCAUUACAGACCCAAAGACAAACAUAAUAACAAUUUCAAAGAAAAAAAAGAGACUCCAGAAUUACUUGUAUAAGCAAACAUAUUAAUUCAAACAAAAAAAAACUUCUGAUCCAAAAAAAUACACAGCACUUAAAUGCACAAAAAGCUUUGACUGCUAAAUUUAAAUGCCCAGAACUCUUCCUUGUGAAAAAAGAGAAAAUCUGAUGACAGUACUCAAUGUUUCGCAGUAAUAUUUAAAUGUUCAGAGUUUACGGCAACAUCAGUAGAACUUCUUAAUAAAGUAUGCGGAAUUUACAAAACAAAUAAACAGAUUUAAAGCUUUAAUCCCAAAGUUAAAUCCUAGUAAAUAAUACUCUACUUACUAAAAGACAUUAAAGAAGGGGGAAGUCAUAAUGAAAAAGAGAACAAAUUCAAAACAUUGAUAUUAUGACUACGAUAUAUAGUGUAACUUCAAAUAAAUCCAGAAAAAGGGACACGACGAAAUUGGGGAAAUUACGAAGACAUGUUACCUCGUUCACGAAAUUGAGCACGAUUCCUGCAAAAAUGAAUCAACAGACAAAUGAACUGCUUAUUUAUAAUUAGAAGCUCAAGUAAAAGUAUGCUUUCCACGAAACCCCUAAAAUCAGAACCAAAUUUGAAGAAACUAAAGAAAGUUUCAAUUAAAAAUUGAUGCCGGUUAAUGGAUUGUGGAUUAUUUGCUAGUGUAGCUGGAGAUGUAUAAGUCGAGUGAAAGCGAGGCGAAAAUAGUAAAAUUACCUUCGGUGCUGUCGGAUUUAGGAGCCAUGGCCGGAGAGAUUGUCCAACAGGAAGAUGGCGAUGAAAGAGUGUGUGUGUGUGUGCGUGAUGGCGGGAAAAUGAGUUGCUUAAUCCACUCUGAGUGUGGCGAAAAAAGUGUGCUGCGUUCGACAAAGUGAGGAACAAGAUUAAGCCAAGCGAUGUCGUUUGAGUGCUAUAGAAAUGUGGAAGAAUAGGGUAUUAUGGAUUUGUUUCUAUUUUUUUUUGGUCAUCACGAUAAUAUUUUUAUAACUUAAUCUAUUCUAAUUUAGGAGGAGGGGAAGCCAAUGGGAGUUGAAUCUCUUUGGAGAAAAGCCACUGAAGGUAAUCACAUAUAAUGGCAAAUUAGUGGGAGAUAGGAUUGAAUUCUUGAUCUUACACACCACCAAAACUUAGUUGUUAGGUGGUGACCACCAACCGAUGUAGAAUGUGCCAAAACCUCAUUGAUCAUAAUCAUUUAAUCAACAAUACUACUCAUGGAUAGAUUAGAUUUUUAAUUUUGUUUUGGCUACUGAAAAAUCCAAUAUGCAAAAACAAACAAGAACAAAAUUUUGAAUAAUCUGUAAUCAAACGAUUACACUUCUAUUAAUUGAGUUGGAUUUUGAGCAUCAAGUUUUGGGGCUAUUUUAGGCUGAUAAUUGUUAUUUCAUUUUUAAGUUAUCAUGUGUAUGCAAAAGAGGUAUCACAUUAAAAUAUACUAGUAUAAUAUGUAUUCCCUUUUUAAAAUAUAAAUAAGUAUAACAUCAAUGUAUAAUAGAUAACCUAAAAAAGUAUGGAUUAAUCUUUUAUAUACUAAUUGUGUAUAAACUAUCACAAUUGAAUGCAUGACAAUUCAUCUGAAUGUAAAUUUAAAAUCUAAAUUUUAUUCAUGUGUCAUGCAUCUAAUUGUUCUAGUGUAUACACUGUUUGUGUAUACAAUAUUUACUCGAAAGGUAAACCACCUAAAUCUCGAAGAAGAAUGAUGCAGAUUAGAUUAAACCGGUUAAAGGCGUGAUAUUUAGAUACAGAGCACUUUGAGAGGGGUGUGGAUUUACGUUGCUUCAUAAAUCGGAUGAAAUUAUAUAGCGACUUCAAAAGCAUCCACUAGAAGGCGUGGAACCGUAUUCUCUGAAAAAAGUACUUGAAUAAUGCUACACCACGUAGCCGUAGCCCCAUCCAAAUCCCACCGUCGCCAAGUCCUACUGAAAUAGCUACUGAGCUUCCACCAUCCUGCGCUAGACAUUUGUACCUCCUCUUUUUCUUUCUAACUGGGAUUGAGUGACCGGAGAGAAUUUCACCGGCGACCGGCCGUGAAAUCUGAAAAUGCUGACGGCGAGAACCUUUCUAUGCAAGCCAUUCAACUCAAGACCGCCUUCGUGGGCGCCGAGCAGCGUUAACCACGUCGCAGCUGCUAACACCAAGAAAAGGCAGAGUGAUACUAAUUUUGAUAAAUUCAAGACCAAGGAGAAUAAGGGGUGGUUUAAAUUUGGAAUUACUAGUACUGGACUUUAUCUUUCCAGUGGGGCUCGCCGUCGCCGGAAUUCCACUCCCAUUACAACAACCGCCGGCGUCGGUGGUGACAGUUCAGUUACAGAGUUGGAUGACAAUAUAAGGAAAUUACUGCAAGCUGUCUUAUGGGUUGCUGAGGGAGUCUACAUUUUGUGGCUCUUCUUGCUUCCUUAUGCUCCAGUAUGUUCCCCGCUCCCUCCUUCUCUUUGGUUCUUUAAUUAUGCAUUGCUUAUUGCAAUUUCAGAGUUGUUCUUAUGUUGGUUUUUCUGACUUUACGUUUUCAAUCUAUUUGGGGAAAUUAUUGGGAGGAAAAGUGCCGCUUUACGGUUCUUAAUCGGUUAUGUUUAUUUCCUGGGAUGAAUUGAAGACAUGUUUAUAUGUUGAUAUAUGCAGGGGGAUCCUGUGUGGGCUAUCAGUUCAGAGACGGUCAAUUCUCUAGUGGGCCUGUCUCUCAAUUUCUUCUUCAUUUUGCCGCUGUUGAAUGCUGGUAAUUGAAACUGUAUUGGUUAUCAUACAAAUUUAGAAGCUCCAUUUGUGAACUCUCUCUUUGUUCCCGCGUAAUCUUACCGUCCACAUUUGCACGAAGACCGGAUACACAUUUCUAAUUGAGUCCUAGCAUUCUUGUUGCCACUGAAUUAGAUUUUUCUGUUCCCUUAUUUGUGCAAUAAAUUUUGGCAGAGUAGUUGGAGUUCAUACAUUGGAGGCACCAGUGCUUCACCCGGUACUGGCAAAUCUCUUUUGAUAAGCAGUUAUUUUUGUCCCUAGAGUUGUUGAUUGAUCUGAGCCGAUCUUUGACAUGAGUUGUUUUCUCCUUCUUUAGAUGUCUGAGGGAUUGUUCAACUUUGUUAUCGGUUGGACCUUGAUGUUUGCUCCUCUACUGUAUACCGAUUGGAGAAGAGACAGAUAUGGGGGUUCGUUGGACGUUCUGUGGGGAUUCCAAAUGUUCCUUACAAAUAGUAAGAUUUCUCAUAAGCCCUUGUACUUGUCUUGCUGUGGAAUUGCAGCUACAAAUUCAUUACCAUCAUGGCUUUUUUUUGUCUGAAAAUAUAGUUUGAAUGAGAUUUUAUCAAUUUGCUACUAUAAGCAUAUUCUUAAUGUUAAAUUUUCAGAUUUUGGUAAUUUCACACUGCUGUCUAACUGUGAUGAAUAUGAAGUUGUUUCCAGCAUCAAUAGCUUUUGUUGGGAAAUGAUCUAAUACACUAAGCAACUUGCUUUUAAAGCCUAAACUUUAAUAAGCAAAAUAAGUCAUAAUAAGUCAUCUGUAUGAUUUUUAUCUUGCAAUUUUUCCUCUAUCUCACAAAUUCUGAGCUUCCUGCUCAAUUGUGUCUUACGCCAUGCUGCGCAAACAACAAGAGGGAGAUCAUCUGAUUAUUGUACUUUUGAUGGAAAAAGAUUUCUAGAGCUAUUUUCUUGAUGGCUACUGUAGUUUCCUUCCUCAAAAUGGUUGGGGACGUACCACUACAAAGCUCUUUUUAAGUCAAGGAUCUCUUUCAUUUUGACCCUUAUUAAUAUAGUUUGAAAAAUUUACCAAUCCUGUGAUUGCUAAAAGUUUUCAAGAGGUAAUUCCUUCUGACUUUUCUUUUUCCUUUUUUUAAGCUAAGUUGCUUUCCACUGUUCUUUCAUAUAUGAACCAAAUUUUGUGAAGGUUGAUUGCUAUAUUUGUUGGUUACAUGAGUUUUGCAUUGUUUCAUAUUUCAGCAUUCUUGAUACCAUACAUGGCCAUCCGUCUGAACAAGAUCGGCACGGAAUAUAAUCCAAGGAAGACGUCUCAGCUAGGUUCCAUUAUGACUAAAGGUGCACCAGUUGUUGGACUGAUUGGUGCAGCUGUUUGUCUGCUAUCCACAGUGUGGGCGCUCUACGGACGAGGAGAUGGAAGUUUUGGGAGUGUACCGGAAAGAUUAGAGUUCUUGAUGAGUUAUCUGGGCUCUGAAAGGCUUGCAUAUGCCUUUGUUUGGGAUAUCUGUUUUUAUGUAAUAUUCCAGCCAUGGUUGAUAGGAGACAACAUACAAAAUGUUCAGAAAGAUAAUGUUGCUGUAGUUAGGUAUCUUAGAUAUAUCCCUGUAGUUGGUUUAGUAGCAUACUGUCUUUGUUUGAAUCCAGAUCAGGAGACAUAGCUGGAAUAUACAUCAGCUCACUAUAGGUGUUUAAUUCUUCAACUUUAUCUGAUACUCAGCUCACAUUUUCUGUUCCUAUAAAAUUUUUAUCUUGUAGUUUCUAUUUAAACGUAGAGAAUUCCAAAAUGGUCUCAUCUAAAGCAGCACAUUUCUUUGAUGUUUGUAGCGAAAGUCCUUGCCAUUUGUUAAUGAGCAAGGAUACUGAUCACCUAGGAUAUGCAAGUUUGGACUAUAAGAAGCACUUGACGUGUGAAUGUCAUUUAGCACCAUCCGGUGAAACAGAAAUUCCAACAGGUGGCCACUCUACGUCAUUGAUGCUUCAGAGCAGGCUGAAGAAUGCUCGGAAAACUUUUGUUUUGUAUUGUUUUCUUUUUCCUGCUCCUUAAUCUUUUCCUAAUGCAUCAUCUCAGCUCUCACGUUUCAUUGUGUGGUUCCUUCUAGAUAACACUCUUUGGGGAUUAACUUCUCUGGAACUUCAGUCCAUAGUGAAGUAUUUUCUGGAAUAAGGACUCGGUAUGAUAUAGAAGUCUGGAAUAAGGACUCGGUAUGAUAUAGAAGUGAUCCUUCCAGAGAAAUUGGAAUCUGAUUUAACUUUUAAGGCCUCAAAAAUGACGAAGAUCUUUUAACUGCAUGAUUUUAACUGAUAUUGAUUACAGGAGUAUGUUUCCAUUGAUGAUCCAUUCGACUGGCUUGGGCGCAUGUCAAGGAAGAAGCACCUAGUUAUGUAAAUGUUUGAAAUCACAAACAUCCAGAGUAGGACUAAACAAGCAGUUAACAAGCUAUAGUAUUGAGAACAACCCAAAUUCUGCAAAAGCAAAAUAGAAUUUUGAUAUCUGGAGUAAAAAUUUGCACCAAAAAAAAAACUGAUUUCAGUAUAUUAUUGAGACAAAUUGCCGCCGCUCUGCUGCCAUAAAUUGAUGAUAUCAGUUGCCUGAUUUAACAGGAUAAUCAUUUUCUUCUGGGAUACCCAUGACUUGCUCUCUAGAGUAGCUCUAAGCUCUUCCCAUGCAUCUUUCCUCGGCCAAAAGAAGUAGGGGCUGAGAGGAACAGCUCCAUGGCCUGGUAUCUUUUGAUCCAGGGCCAGACCAAUAUUCUUUUCCAUCCAUAUGAACUUCAACACCAGCUCAGGCUUUGGCUUCUGUGCUCCCUUGGCCACCGUUUCGGCUUUCUGAAAAUCAAGAAUUAAACAAAAAUAAACACAAGGAUCACAUAACAUAAACGAACUCAAAGGGAACAUAAACAGACAUGUACUGCAGGUUCGGGUGAAGGCUCAGCUGGAGUUUCUGUUUCUGUUGCAACUUCUUCUGCUGUAGCCGCAGCCUGGAGCGUCUGAAUUGUGCUAAAGGGCUUUCUUUUGAAGCUCAGAAUGGUUGGUGAAAUUGGAGAAACAGCUCUAGACUUCAAUGAAGCGGAGGUUUGGAAAGGUACGCAACAAGGAUUCUGGGAAGGUAAGGAGGGAUAUGUCAAAGUGCCCUUGAUACCAGACUGCGGUGACAUAGACAACAUUGUGAAUCCUAUUUAACAGAAGAAAGAAAGAGAGAGGGAGAGGAGAAGAGGGGGUUGGGGGGAGGAAGUAGGAUCUUAUAUGUGAAAGAAUGGACAAAGCUUGAGGACUUGCUGCAUUGAUCAGUCUGGAUAAGGUAAUUAAGAUCAGAUCAGUAGAUUACUGUUUCAGAGCUUCAGAAAACAGAAAUUGAACGGCUAUAAGGCCACUGUUCCUAAGAAGGUGAAUUGGGCUGGUCCAAUAAUACUUUUAAGAGGCCCAGCCUCAGGAAAGCAAAUGACUCUCAUGCUCUCCAAUCCCCCGUGUCAGAUUAGUUCUUAAGAUUAAAUCUGUUGAAAAAAAAUAAAAGAAAGAGACCAAGGGAAGGGACUAAAGAUUUAAAGAGCGAUGUGAAAACUAUAUUGACCGGCUGACUUGUAAGAAUCUCUGUGACUUAUGAUUUCGAAAGUAUGCUCUAAUUUGUGGUGGUAAUCAGAAUUAAACCUAUUCAAACUUUCAUUUAUAUAUGAAAAAAAUUGUUUCUUCCUACUGAAACUAUAUAUUUGUCUUGUUAGCUCGUACAAGCUUGAUUUACAAAAAUGUGCGUAGACUAAAAAUCCGUUUUAGAAACUUUUUGUUGUUGUUGCAACAAACUUAUUCUUUUUUUACCAUAUGAUACUUAUCCCGUUCUAAUUAUAACUUCCUGUUUGGAUUGCUAUUUUUGGAAUUUUUGUAAAAAAAAUGUUGUAACGAUUUGUUGUAUGUGAAGCAAAAAAGUGAUAGAAAAAUGUGUUUAUUGAAAGUGUAGAAAUUUUUUGAGGAAAAAUUGCUUUUUAAAAAUGUCGAAUAAAAAGAAUUUGUUAAGCUUCAUGCCUUCACCUGCAAAGGAUUGUAAAGCUUCGAAAUUUUACCAUAAAAUACUGAGUUUUUAAAAUCCUCUGAAUACAUUCACUACAAUCAGUCCGGCAGCGGUAUUUGGUGAAUUAAAUCAUCCAGAAAUUUUCAUUAAAUCAUGCAUUGCCACACAAAUGUGUAUGUCAAAAUUAAUCUCAACUUUAUCGUUUGAAAUAGAAUAACUCCCACAAUAUACAAUUGACAACUAAUCGUCCAAAUAUCAUAUAUCUCUAUAUGUCAUUACUUUUAGUCUUUAGAUACCAUCACAAAAUACAUAUAGAAAAACAAAAUUUUGAUUUUUUUUUAAAGAAAGCAUUAAAACCAAAGAUUACAUAGCUAUAAAAAUCAGUAUAUUCUUAAAAAAAAAACUACUAAAUAUUAAGAAAUCCUAAUCCCAUCUGAAAAAAAAGAAAAUAAAAUAAAAGUAAUUUCAGAUACCUCCAUUGAGGUUUCUAUCGCUUUCAUUGACCUCCCUUGAGGAUUUAAAAAUUAUACUGACCUCCCUUAUUAAAUUUUUGGGACCCUUUGCUUACAUCAUUAGGGUAAAAUUACUGAUUUGUCCAAAGAUAUUGUGUUUAUUACUAACAUUUAUAUGAAAAAAGUUAUCUCAUGAACUAAUUAAAAGAAAUAAUCAUGCUUAAGAGGAAUAAUUAUUAUUUGAUGUAUAAUUAACAACAAUAACUGCAAUUAUCAUAGUUCUCACUAGACCUUUUUUUGAUGUGUAAUUAAUAAUAAUAAUUGUAAUUGCCUAGCCAAACUGCCAUUUCCUCUUCUACUAUAACUUCUUCUCUCCCUAAAUUAUUAUAUCUUUUUUUGCUACUUACUUCUUCUUCUUCAUCUCCACCAUACCAUUUGAAGUACAUACAAUUUGCAUGGAUUCUUUUUGCUCUCAAAUAAUUUCACUAUAGUCUUGCAAUUGUAGCUACAAUAUCUGUUCCUAAAGGUGAAAGCUGUGGGUGAAUUCCAUGGUUCCCCACUAUGGCUCGAAGAAGCUACAAUUUCUGUACCAAAAUUUUCAUUAUUAACUUGCAAUAUUGCACAACAGAAUCACUUCUUUACAUCUCAAAUAUUGAAGUUCAUGCCCCAAACAGAGGUAGUUGCGAAGUUUGUAUGCUGUUGCACAAGAAUGAAAAAAAUGGCCAUUGCACAAAACUAGUGGCCGUUGGUGUUGCUGCUAAAGCAUGGCUUUACGUUGUUGCAAAAAUACCUAUUUUUCUGGUGCUUGGACUGAAUUAUUACCAAAAAUAUAAAAGCAUGGGAGUGUGUAAUUUUUGAAACAUCAGGGGAGGUCAAUAAAAAGUGUUAGAAACCUCAAGGGAGGUUUCUGAAACUAUCCCUAAAAUAAAAACAAAGCCUAUAUUGGUUACCCUGUAGCUAUAGUACAUUGUGCUUAGAAGUUAGGACCACCGCUCUUACGGUAAACAAGCCAACGCUACCUUGAAACUGUCUCGGCUAACCGGCCAUGGAAACCACCGAGCCUCGGCCCCCGACCAAUGUUUCAGCUAAUGCCACCGUCUCCGGCGACGGCAACGAAGAUAUUCCCAGCUUGAACAACAUGCCUAACCAUUCAUCUUCUCCUAAAACGACAGCUGGCCCUACCGCUUCUGAUCCUCAACCCAUGGACACCUCAGAACCCGUUAAUGAAUCCCAACCCACCUCCGAAACUGUACCCCAAGCCGCAGCCGCUUCAACCGCUGACCCUGCCCCACCUCCGCCCAGAAAGCGGCGUCGUCGAAAGAAGCUGUUUACUGAUAUGAUAUCGACCAGCUCCGCCGCGUCCGGCCUCCGCGUCCUCCGCCCCCAUCCUAAACCCUCUACCGCCUACUCCUAUUCCUACUCCGAAACCGAGCUCGUGGACGAACCCGACGAUGGGAAACCCCAUAUCCUCCAUCGCCGCCGUGGCGGCAGCGGAGGAAGCAGUAGUAAAAUAUCCGACCUAGCUAAAGAAGUCGACAUUGAAGCCCUGAUUGCCAUAUCCGUUGGAUUCCCUGUUGAUUCCUUAACCGAGGAAGAAAUCGAGGCCAAUGUCGUCUCCCAAAUCGGCGGCGCCGAGCAAGCGAAUUACAUUGUCGUCCGCAACCAUAUUCUCGCCCGGUGGCGGUCAAACGUUUCCGUUUGGCUGACGAAAGACCACGCCUUGGAGUCAAUCCGGGCUGAGCAUAAAGCCCUUGUCAACUCUGCGUACUAUUUCCUCCUCCACCAUGGCUAUAUAAACUUCGGGCUUGCUCCGGCGAUUAAAGAAAUGAAAUUAAAACCCCCAGAAGGCGCCCCGAAGGCGAACGUGGUCGUAAUUGGAGCUGGGCUCUCCGGUUUAGUAGCUGCAAGACAGUUAAUUUUUUUGGGUUUUAAGGUUGUGGUUUUGGAGGGCCGGGCCCGGCCAGGUGGACGGGUUCGAACCAAGAAAAUGUGUGGUGAUAAGGAUGAUAUUGUUGCCGCCGCAGAUUUAGGCGGGAGUGUGCUGACUGGGAUCAAUGGGAAUCCAUUAGGAGUUCUUGCUAGACAGUUAGGAGUUCCUCUUCAUAAGGUGAGGGAUAUCUGUCCUUUGUAUUUACCUAAUGGUAGAACUGUUAAUCCAGAUAUUGAUUCGAGAGUGGAAGUUUCGUUUAAUAAGUUGUUGGAUAGAGUUUGUAAGCUUAGACAGGCUAUGCUGGAGGAAGUUAGAUCAGUAGAUGUUUCAUUAGGUACCGCAUUAGAGACGUUUAGGCAAGUCUAUAGGGUAGCUGAGGAUCCUCAAGAAAGAAUGCUCUUGGAUUGGCACUUGGCCAAUUUGGAGUAUGCUAAUGCGUCCUUGAUGUCCAAGUUAUCAAUGUCAUAUUGGGAUCAAGAUGAUCCGUAUGAAAUGGGAGGCGAUCAUUGUUUUAUGCCGGGAGGUAACGAGACAUUAAUUCGAGUAUUGGCUGAGGACCUUCCAAUAUUUUAUAACCGCGCAGUUGACACUGUCAAGUACGGUAUUGAUGGGGUUUUAGUGCAUGCAGGCGGGCAGGCUUAUCGAGGGGAUAUGGUGCUUUGUACUGUUCCCUUGGGGGUGCUCAAAAAGGAUGUUAUUCAAUUUGUACCAGACCUUCCAGAGAGGAAGAGAGAGGCUAUUGAGAGAUUGGGGUUUGGGUUGUUGAACAAAGUCGCAAUCUUGUUUCCAUAUGAUUUCUGGGGUGGUGAUAUUGAUACUUUUGGGCAUUUGACUGACGAUCCGAAUACAAGAGGCGAGUUUUUUCUGUUUUAUAGUUAUUCUUCAGUAGCAGGAGGACCACUUCUUGUGGCUCUUGUGGCUGGAGAUGCAGCACUUAAGUUUGAAAUGAUGUCCCCUGUUGAAUCUGUCCAGAAGGUUCUUGAAAUACUGAAGAGUAUAUUCAGCCCAAAAGGGAUAGCAGUUCCAGAUCCUGUUCAGGCAGUUUGCACUCGUUGGGGUCAAGAUCGGUUUUCCUAUGGCUCUUAUUCUUAUGUUGCAAUUGGAGCUUCUGGAGAUGAUUAUGAUAUUCUAGCAGAGAGUGUUGGAGACCGACUUUUCUUUGCAGGAGAAGCAACAAACAAGCAGUAUCCAGCAACAAUGCAUGGAGCUUUUCUUAGUGGGAUGAGAGAGGCUGCUAAUAUCUUGAGGGUUGCCAAGAGGCGGUCAAUUGUUCCAGCUGAAAGAUCAAAUAGUGCAGCUCUAGAAAACGGGGAUAUUGAUAGGUUGUUUAAUGCUCCAGACCUCACAUUUGGUAGCUUCUCUGUGUUGUUUGAUCCCAGGUCAACCGAUCUAGAGUCUAAUGCUGUAUUACGAAUUGCUUUAAAAGGUGAGAAAUCUGGAGCUGUUGGUAUUUAUCUCUACGGUUUGAUCCCCAGGAAGCAGGUGAUUGAACUAAGUAAGGUGGCUGGAGAUCUAGACCGCUUACAUAUGCUAACUCGUGAGUUUCAUGUGAGGUUGGUUGGGAGGAAGAGUUUAAGCAAUAUGGCAGAAUCUCUUCUUACAGUCAUUAGAUCCAGCAGAUUAAGUAACUUGAGUUAGAGCUCUUAGUAAAUUUUGUAGCAGAACUCAUAAGUGGGUAUUUUGUAAAUGGUUCCAGAUUGAUCUUAAUUGAUUAAAGAUUUGAACUUUACCUUUCUGUCUAUGGUCCGUUUAUUUACUUACUUGGGUAUAAUCUUUCUCUGACAUCAAAUCCUUUUGAAGUUUCAUGAUCUGAACCUUUAACUAGACUUCAUCUAGUCAAGUCGGCAGCUCUUUAGCCAUAUCUCGGUGCUUUUUCCGCAAGUACUUACAAUUUGACGUUUCUGUCAUGCCAAGCCAGGCUUAAACAUGUGAUGAUCCAUUUCGUGAAAUCGAGUGGUUAAAGAUUAGCCAGUUAAGUCUUGUAAAUCUGUAGCUUGUUAACAGUCUUGAUUGAAUCUGCAGUUCUAGUUGUCUUUUUGUUUCUCUUGCUGGGAACUUUUGUGCCCUGUAAUUUGCUGAAGUAAUCUGUAAUUUUAAUUCUGCACCCAAACUCAACUUAAUUGGCAGGGACAUCAAGCUACGCAUGGCCUCCUUAAUGCAGUUACUGUUUCUUCGAGUCUUUUCAUUUAACUCUAGAACGUUUCAUGACGUGAGACAUGGGACUUCUGAUUUUUGGUAUGGAGUUUGUACAGCUGUUCGGAAAUUUCAGCAGCCAUUUUGAAAUUAUCCAUAAGCUAGAUAAUCAAAAUACCAACUUAUGUUCCAAGUUUCUGGGCGAUCAGACUGAACACUGUAUUGCUUAAGAUGGUGCCUGACGAGAUCAAUAGAAACAUUCCAAAUGGAGAAAGGUGUGUGAUAUGAAUUCUGAAGUGCUACAGCAGAAAAGGAGACUUGGCAAUUUAGCUAAUGGUAUGGAAGGAAUGGAACAGAAAAGGUAUUUGAUCAAAACCACUAAUGUUAUUGCAAAAUGCUGGAGGCUGAGAGGAGGCAUUGAACUCGCCAAACCCUUGGAUGAUCGUUACUCGUCUAUUCAAGACCUGACCUCAAUCCUGAAUGAUUGUAGAACUUUCUUUGCUGCUUAAAUUCCAACAGGUGCAAGGGAAACGAAUGAAUAGACUGUUGGGGUAACAACAUAGUAGAUUGUUGAUGUUGGGCGACGAAGAAGACGAAAAAAAAAGAAGGGGUUGGGAGUUAUAAGUUUGGGAGAAAACCUUUUCAAAUUUUUUUAUUAACAUAUUGAUUUUUGUCUUCUCCAAUUAGGGAAUAUUUUCAUUGAUGAUUCGAGGGGUGUUAGUUUUCUGAAGAUGACUUUAAUGAAUUAAAUCUUGUCUUAUUUACUUUAUCAAUUAUUUUUUCAUACCAAAAAGGCAAAAAUCUGAAAAAAAAAAAAAAAAACACCAAAGAAGAGACCAAACUACAUCUCUUAUGUCUUAAUGAGUGGUGGGAAUACCCGUUAGAAAAAUCCUUAAAAUAUGAACACGAUGAUUGUUUCUAUGACAAAAAAUCUUUAAAUAUGAACAUGGUUGUUCGUCGUACAUCAGUGCAUCACUUGAGAGGAGAACCCAUUGAAAGAAAUGGGCCCCAAUUUUUCUUUUGUGCCCAAUAGAGCCAACUUUGUAAACGACCCAGUCUUUUGGGCUUCACAACGAAAUUUCAACCCAAUCGAAGUUGCAAUAAAAAUCUAAUUAAAAUCCACAAUAAGAUCUCUCUCUGUAUUCUCUCCUCUCUCUCUGGAACAAAGCCUUCGAAUCUGCGGAAGCCGGAGGGAGUACAUCGCCACCGGUAACUCCUCCUCCUCCACCCUUUCUUUGUUUAUGUAUAUGGAAUUAUUCUUUUGCAGAGAGCUGUGUUAAUAAUUCAUAUCUAUUUAUGAGCUCUGAUUAUAGGUUCUCUCUCCAGAUCUCAUUUCUCACAACUGCCUUUCUAAUUUUCAAUUUCUCGAGAAAAGAGGAGCUAAAUUUCCUCUAGUACUAUUAAGGACCUGGAUAUCUUGGUUUCCGCUAUGCUCGUGAUCUCUUUCUGCUUAUCAUUUCCAUUUUGAUUAUUGUUUUCAAAUUCUACACUUAUAUCUCUUUAAUUUCCAAUUACUACUGUCAUUUCUGGUAAAUAAUCAUAUUUGUUUCAGACUGAUUUUUAUGUAAGGUUCUUUUUUGUUUGGUUAGGUUCUUAGCUUAGCACAUCUUUUCAAGUUAUAGUUGCUAAAACAAUAAAUUGAGCUCUUUUUUGAAGAAAAAAUACACUAUUUUUCUCCUUGUUUUCAGUGUGGAUUCAAAUGAAAUGUUUAACCUUAAUCAAGACAUGCUACAGUCUAAUUUUACCGAAUUAUGAAGAUGAUUUUUGUUGUCUUUGCUUUUCUAGGGGAAAAUGUCGAUGGUGGAUGAGCCAUUGUAUCCAAUAGCUGUGCUAAUUGAUGAGCUGAAGAAUGAUGACAUUCAAUUACGGCUCAAUUCAAUCCGUAGGCUGAAUACGAUUGCCCGUGCUCUCGGUGAGGAGAGGACACGGAAAGAAUUGAUACCAUUUCUCAGUGAAAAUAAUGAUGAUGAUGAUGAGGUGCUGCUGGCAAUGGCGGAGGAGUUGGGAGUGUUUAUUCCUUAUGUUGGAGGUGUGGAGUAUGCUUCUGUGUUGUUACCGCCUUUGGAGACCCUUUGCACCGUAGAGGAGACUUGUGUGAGGGAUAAAGCUGUUGAGUCAUUGUGUAGAAUUGGAUCCCAGAUGAGGGAAAAUGAUCUGGUUGAUUGGUUUAUUCCUCUUGUGAAGGUUAGAACAAAAGCUUGGUGCUUCGCUGUUAAAGCAUGUCAUUCGUACAGUUUUAUGGUCAGAUGUUUGUGAAGUUGAUGCUUUGUUGUAUUUAUUUUCCGUGGACCUUUUUCUAUUUGUGGAGAUAUUCGGACACCAUAAAUUAUGCUAUAAUGCUAUCUACCGUAAGGGUGAUAUAUGAUUCUGUACGAGUUUCUUGGUUCAGAAUUAUAACUUUCAUGUGCUAGACAAUUCUUACUCAUCAUAGUUUUGGAUUUUUUUUUCUGAGAUCAGAUUGUUGGUACAUGAAAAUUAUCUGUGUUUAUGAAGUGGUUCUGUUAUUUUAUCUUAACUUUGGUUUCACCUGUUAGUUUUGAAAUAAUUUUUGACUUCUUACUGAGAAAUUACAUUGGAUAAUGUUAUGACAUUGUUAAAUUCGACCUUUUAGAGGCUUGCAGCUGGUGAAUGGUUUACUGCUCGAGUUUCUGCAUGUGGACUAUUCCAUAUUGCUUACCCAAGUGCAUCAGAGAUGCUAAAGACUGAACUUCGGUCGAUAUACAGCCAGUUGUGUCAAGAUGACAUGCCUAUGGUGAGGAGAGCUGCUGCAACUAAUUUGGGAAAGUUUGCUGCUACAGUUGAGCCCCCCAAUCUCAAGGCUGACAUCAUGUCUAUGUUUGAGGAUCUCACUCAAGAUGGUAAAUGAAGAAUACAUCUCAAUUUCUUCUUGUGACUACUGAAGACAUCAUGUAUGCACUAUCAAAUGUGUAUUAGCAUAGUUCCUUUUCUGUGAAUUAUCAGCCUCGCUUUGCAGAUUUUCUUUCCCUAGCCAACAACUUUGUGUUAAUGUAUAACAUUUAAGAUCCUUGGUUCAAAUUCCCCCUGCCCUCUCUCCGCUUCUUAAGUCCCACCCCUCUCCUGGUGAGAGGGGGGGGGGGGGAAGCCAUUUGCAAUUCAAGACUAGGCAGCCUAUAGCUUGUGGUGCAAUGUAGGUGUAGUAUUCUUUUGGUAUCAAGUCUGAACUUGUUUUCUUUGUGGGUGAUAUUCUGCAUAUGCUUGAGAACUUGUUCAUUUUUGUUCCCUAAAAAUGUUGAGCUUAUAAAUUGUUGAAAUUCUAUAAUUGUUUAGUGGGCAACUAAUGCAUAUGGUUGAUAAUUGUUUGACAAUUUCUAGUUCUUUUGCUUACUUGGAUCUUGUGCUUCACUUGAUUUCCAAGAAUGCAUAUUGUUGACACCUCACUUUAAAUGCUUUUAGCCUUUCACCAAAGAGAUAUCACGACUGCUUAGUGGUUUACAUAACUCUCUCUUUUUCAGAUCAAGAUUCUGUUCGAUUGCUAGCUGUAGAAGGUUGUGCUGCUCUUGGCAAGUUGUUGGAAUCCCAAGAUUGUGUAGCCCACAUACUCCCUGUCAUUGUUAACUUCUCCCAGGUACUCAGAAGGGGUCCAUUCACUUAUCUUUUUUUUUUUUUGGUAACUACAAGCUUUGUGGUAGGAAGCAAAAUAUUUUUAAUGGGGAAGAGUGAGCAUGGUUGUAGGUUUAAUGGGGUUUGGAACCAGAAACCUUUGAGUUUUCAAGCAGUGUUAUUAUCAUUAGAAGCAGAUCUGUUUUUGAUGGUUUGCAAGGUUUUUUAGAUUUCCAUCUUUGUAGGGGAAGCAUAGCUGAAAACUUGAGUUGAGAAGGAAGAGGAUGGUCCAGAUGACAUUGUCUGUACUGAGGAUGCUGCUAUUGCCUUUCUGAGUCUAGCUGUUUUGCUAUAGAUUUCUAGACUUGUUUUGGUUAUGUAAAAUAUCUUGAUAACUUGCUGUCUGAAUGGUUCUUAUGUUGUCUGUUAACUCAGGACAAGUCUUGGCGUGUCAGAUACAUGGUUGCGAACCAAUUGUAUGAGCUUUGCGAAGCUGUUGGACCUGAACCUACAAGGUAUCUUGUAUUUAAACUUACAUUGUGCAUGCCUGCUGAUUGUGCGAUAUUGAAAAACUUGAAGUCAUUUAACCUUGAUUUAAACUUUGGCAAUGGCCAAAUUUCCAAUUGGCACUUAGUUUAUCAACACUGAGAUUUCUGCUUAUCAUUUUUUUCCCGAUGGUAAAGCUGUUGGACCUGAAUAUAUAUCUUUCAUUAUCUGCAUAUUUUAUUCUUUGUAAAUUUAUUAUCUUAUCUUUUGCUUCUAUGGAGGAAGCGGUCUCCUUAUGAGACUUCUGACUGAUGGUAAUUAUGAUGCCAUUAAGGACGGAUUUGGUUCCUGCUUAUGUGCGCCUACUUCGUGAUAAUGAAGCUGAAGUGCGUAUAGCAGCUGCUGGUAAAGUCACCAAAUUUUGUCGGAUUCUUAAUCCAGAACUUGCUAUUCAGCAUAUUCUUCCCUGUGUGAAGGUACUUACUUAACUAACCUGAAUUGCUGCUUGGUGAUGACCUUAUUGUUCAUGUCAUGUAUGAUAUGUGCCUCUAUUUUGCAACUUUCAGGAAUUAUCAUCAGAUUCUUCCCAGCAUGUUCGAUCAGCUUUGGCUUCUGUUAUAAUGGGAAUGGCUCCUGUUCUAGGAAAGGUAGCCUUUCCAUUUAUUUAUAUUUUAUACUGAAAAUAUCUAUGCAGUUAUCUGUGCUACCCAUGCUAAGCCAAAGAACAUUAUCCUCUUGGUAAAUUCCACUGGUUGGUGAACAUGUUUAGUUGCUUCAUAUUUGUAUUUUACCUAGCAAGGGGAAACAGUUCUGUUGGUAAUUCUUUUUUAUUCAAUGCUUCUGGUAUAGGUUUAUAUUGCAGAAAUCUUUUACUGAUCUUGAACUUUUUGUACUGUAGUGCUCUGCUAUGAUGUCAAUAUAAUUUAUUACAGCUAUUUUUGCUUAUUUUCUUGUGUACUUUGUGCUUUCAUCAAGAUUGCAUUUCACUGAAUUUCCUAUCCAAUGCAGGAUGCGACAAUUGAACAACUUCUCCCAAUUUUUCUUUCCCUCUUGAAAGAUGAAUUCCCUGAUGUACGCCUUAAUAUUAUUAGCAAGCUCGAUCAAGUCAAUCAGGUUUGUGAUGUUUAGUGCUUUGGAUCUUAUUUACUGUGUUUUCCAAAUGCUCUCCUUUCUUCAUCUAUCUUCGGUUUCUUUUUGUGCAUGAUAUAUGCAUCUCGUGUUGAGAUUUUGGCAUGUAACUAAGUGUAGUUUAUGUGCUUUGCAAACUUGGAUAAAGGAAAAGAAGAUUUUGAUUCUCCUUUUGUAAUAUCUUGGGCUUCAAAUAUGAUGGUGGAUAGCAAGUAAAAUUUUCUAUAGUCAUUCUACUUUUGGCUACAACAUGGAUCAGUUGUUGAUCAAUGACUUAGAUAGUAGUAGUCUUAGUGUUUUGACUGAUGAUUCAUUACUUUUAACUGCUAAAUAAUUAUACUAAGUGCUCGCAAUUUAGUAUUUUUUCUACCCAAAAAAAAAAAACUCUGGUGUUAUUAUUAUUAUUUUUUGUAAUUUAGUAUUUUUUCCACAAAAAAAAAACUUGCAGUGUUAUCUUUUUUCUUGUAACGUGGUCCUUUUCCAAUGACAUGGUUUAUCUUGGUUUCAAAUUUUGUAUUUGUCAUGCAUUUUUUCAUGCUGUUGAGUAUAUCUCUCUACUGAUUUAUAUUGGUAUCUAAUUGCUCAACAUUGCAGGUUAUAGGAAUCGACUUGUUGUCGCAAUCUCUAUUACCAGCUAUUGUUGAGCUUGCAGAGGAUAGGCAUUGGAGAGUUCGCCUUGCAAUUAUUGAAUACAUACCGCUGUUGGCUAGUCAAUUGGGUGUAGGUUUUUUCGAUGACAAACUUGGUGCCCUUUGCAUGCAGUGGCUACAGGACAAGGUUGGUGGUAUUAUGUAAAGUUUCCUUGUAACUGAAGUUGAUGACUAUAAGUCUGAUGACAUCAGAGUGUGGAUAUCCAAAAUAAAUUAAUGUGGGAGAGACGUACUUUCUAUGCUAAUGAAUGCUUACCUGUUCGAGUGGGAAAACAACCUACCUAUUCUUCCAUUCAGUUCUGUUUUCUUCCUAUGCCAGCUUUUACUUUUCUUUGGUUUUUUGCAGAUAUUCAUUCAUCUCAAUCAAAAUCAUCAAAACAAUACUUCCACUUGUAUCAUCUCUUUAGUGUGAAUAUUUUUGCAGCAUUCAAUUUUGCCCAUCAACCCACUAAGCAUAAUGUUUUCAAGAAAAUCCAUCUUAUCCUCCUUCGACAUGUAGUUGGUAUAUAAGUGCAAAUACAUUUUUGGCUUUACAGAAAAAUUUGUCAUGCAGGUUUAUUCAAUUCGAGAUGCUGCUGCUAAUAAUUUGAAACGCCUGGCAGAAGAAUUUGGUCCGGAGUGGGCAAUGCAGCAUAUCAUUCCUCAGGUUUGUCCGAGUACUCAACUAUAAGAUGCAUUUUUUCCCUUCUCUAUCUCUCUCUUUUGAUUUGGUUGGCGUUGCCAGCUGUGCAAAAUGAUUGUUCUUAUUAAAAAUGACUCUGAAUCAGUCUGUCCAUGUACCUCGUACCGAGUAAUUAAGAUCUGGAGGUAAUCUGCUGCUCAAGUGAAUUUUAAGUGGUAAAAAUCAACUUAGAAUGCACCUGCAACUUGGCUGGUUUUAAACUUUUCCGGUAUUAUACCUAGUGGACCUGGUUUUUAAAAUUUUCGAAAUAGACUGAAUCUAAGUGGAGAAAAUGGUGCUUAAAGGGUGUUAAAUUAUUGAUAAUGCAAUUGUUGCAUCAUUUUUCUUCUGAGAAGGCCUGUAUCAGAACCAGCAGUAAACUGAGUUUGCUCAGUAUCAAGCUGCAGAACCAGCUAAGCGUUUGUAUCAUCAUAGUUGUUUUUACCAUUAAAGUGAUCAUUAAUGUCUUCUAUAAAAGUUGUAGUCGAAUGGUAUUCUUUUAUAGUGGUUACAUGUUUCGACUGUUUUCUCUAAUACUGAGGCAAGAGUCAAGGCCAUGGAAUAUAUCAUUUUCUUGUUGUGUUUUAGCACAAAAAAUAUGGGGAAAAAGAUAACUUUGAAAAAUUAGAAAACGGGGAAGAAAAUUAAGAACUUUAUCUGAUUGUGCAAGUUGAGAAGUAAUUUAAAAUUGGAACCAUGUGGUUCUAGUUUCUUGCUUCCUUGCAUAUAUGGUGCUUUGUUAUUCCCUUAGAUAAAAUAAAUGUUAAAGCACCUUUCUACAGGUUUUGGAUAUGACAAACAAUCCACAUUAUUUGUAUCGGAUGACCAUUCUUCGCGCAAUUUCAUUACUUGCUCCUGUCAUGGGCUCUGAGAUUACUUGUUCUAAGUUGCUGCCGGUGGUCAUCACUGCAUCGAAGGACAGGUCAUUGACUUUCUCAUAUUUAAUUUGGUGUUAGUAGGCUUGAUUGGAUAGCUUCCUGAACCUGCAGUUCUGACAUGUUCUCUCUUCAGGGUUCCGAACAUUAAAUUUAAUGUGGCGAAGGUGUUGCAGUCCCUGAUUCAUAUUGUUGACCAAUCAGUAAGCAUUGCUUGUUUUUCUCUGAAUCUUGCUCUUUUUACAUGUUGAGUUCGGUUAACUUUGACUUCUUUGUUUUAUAUGCAAAUAUUGGGACUUUGUUCGUGCUUAGGUGGUGGAGAAAACGAUUCGUCCAUGUCUGGUAGAGCUUGCUGAGGAUCCUGAUGUUGAUGUCCGUUAUUAUGCCAAUCAGGCACUUCAAUCAAUUGACAGUGUUAUGAUGUCCAGCUAGACCGUUUUAUCAGACGAGAAUUCAUCACAGAAAUUUUUAUUCCGGUUUCUUUUCCUGGUGUUUCUGGAUAAAGACUGUCUGAUUGAAAUAGCUAAUUCAAAGUUUAGUGUUGAUUUUCUCCCUUCACUCGGCUGAGUGCUAGUGUAUGGCAAUUCCUGAAUAUUGUUCAGAUAAUUCGAGGAUGCUUGUUGCUAAUGUACAUGUUUGUCACUUGUAAAAUUACAGUUCAAUGACAAGCUGCAUUGUGCUUGAAUUAAAGAGGAGAAUGCACGUGACCUCUCUUUUUGAUUUUUUGAUCUUUAUAGUUGGGGAUAUAAUAUCAAUGAACAUGGUUUUAACGAGUAGAGAUGGAAGAUUGACCAUAAACUUAUUUUUGUCUGAACGAGUGCAUAUUCAAAAAAAAAGAAAAAAAAAAAAGAAAGCCUUUUAUUCAUGAACAUAAUGUGAAUAGAAAGAAGACCUUUUCGAUCACUCCAAACUGACAAAUUUUCUGAGGGAAUGUCCUAACAUAUCAUCAAUAUUAUUCAAAAUAAAUGUGUAUUGUACAGAAAUUAUGUGUAAAAAUAUGACUGCGUCCCCAAAACUUUUUUUGUUUUAAGGCAUUUCCGUAAGCUUCUGUGAGAUAUUCCGCAGGCUCAAUGCAACUUUGAUGAUUUGGAGUGGCUGCAACUUACCUGGGGGUUGAGGCAAUAAGAAAAGAAGGGUGGCUCCUGCCAAAACAUUUCAACCACCAACUCAAGAAAAAAGACCAAAAGAUUUCAGCAGUUGAUUUCUUCCUCCUUGAGAGCAGUUUAAAUAGGACCACAACCAAGAAGCUCUCCACAAAGCACAGCCAACGCCACACUUUCCAUCUGCGUUAAGAAAUCAUUCUUCUCCCACAGACGAGCAAAAUAAGAUCAAGUAUCAUGACAGAAGUAAGUGAGAAGCUGGAAGAAGAAAAGUACCUAAACCUAGAGCAUCCCCUGUCCAGGUACUUUAAAGUUUCUCGACAACUGUGAAUAUUGUAGAUAUGAUAUAAAUUCACUAGCUUGUAUCAUAGUAUCUAUUUUAUUUUAUUUUACAUAUUAUUAUGAUGAAGUUUGGAACAUUCCUCCAAAAUGGAUGCCCAUGAACAGGCUUGGUCACGUUAUUUGGACCGUUCCUUCAUUAUUAUUUGUCUGAGAUUUGGAAUUAGCAUUUGUAUCAGAUUAUGUAUUCUUUUUUUUUUUCCUUGUUUUUGACAGGGAAAAGACUUCAUGAAGAUUUCUGGAACACUCAUUUGAGCAAGAUUAUUUUAGCUACUAAAAUCAUGAAGGAAGUGACUGGGGUGAUGAACCGUUUGAUGGCCUCAUCCUCGAACCUUCAUGAUGGUCAAACGUUGGUUUUGGACUAGCAAAACCAACUUCAUGAUAGUCUUUAAAACACCACCUUAGCUUCCAUACUGGGCUAGAAACUAAGGAAAGCAUUCAAUUUUUCAUUUAGCAUUGCAAACAUACAAGUGAAAAUAUUAUUAUGUAACUUAUUUGUCAUUGUCAAUUUAUCAUUUGGUAAGUGUAUGAAUUUGUUCUUGAUCAAUUUGAAUUUUACUUGCUUGGUUUUGAAUCAUAAGGGGAGACAUUAAUACCUGCCAUUGACGUUUAUUAAGUUGAUUCUAGUGCAACUUCCAAAUCUCUCCCAAACAAUUCCUUCUCAGAAAUCUCUAAAAUCCCUCCGACAUGUACAAAAUUUUAGUACAUCAUUUUUUGUACUACUGAGUAUACAUCAUUUUCAAGUCCUAGAAUUACAUUCUUUUUCUUCCUCACUAUUAAAAUGUUGAUUUUUAUUGGAUUACAAACAUAAAGAAUAGGAUUGGAUCAUUUGGUCUUAUUUUGGUACCAUAUGAAAAAAAAGGCUUUUGAUAACAACUCACUCCUACUUUUCUAAAUACAGUACGUAAUUCAAACGACGUUAGGAAAAAAACAGGCCUAUCUAGAUCAAAUGGGUGUAUUACAGGGUGCGAAAUUUGAACUCUCGACCUAUAAUUUAGUUUAAAGAGGGAUUUUAAAUCCCCUUUGAUGACCAACACGUCAGCAUUUUAAGUACCCACUCUUCUAGUUUACGAAACUCAAGCCAACCACCGGGAUUUGCAUGAGCAAUUUCAUGUAGUUACAAGUUUUGGUCAAGAAAAAGGUGCCUGUUGUGCUUGUGCAGCAUGCUUUGACGGAUAAUAUUCCACUCCCCCGACUUAGGCAAACUUAAAAAGGCAAAGCAUCAGAAUAUAUCUAUAUUGGUACAGCUAUCAAAUCGAGUCUGCUUGGCACCUGAAAUCAACGAUUUCGUCAUAGAAGUUUUAUUCGAGGGAUGCAUGUGGAAUAAAAUGAGAGCACGUAACUGAGAGCAAAUGAUCAAAUGGGCGAAAGCAACACAUCUCCACUUAGUUAUAUGAAAGCUUCUCACAAUUCACUAUUUUGAUUCUAAACUUAUUACUUGUAGUAAAAUAUUACUAGCAUCAAAAUGAAUAUUAGACUCAACAUUUCAAGUUGUGUCCAUAGUCUAUUAAUUCAGAUAGAAUUGUACUGCUAAGUUAAACUAAUUUUAAUUUUAGAUAAUUAAUUUGUGGGAACCUUUCGUUUUGCACUAUAUUUAUUCAAUUGUAUAAAGAUGAGAACCAAGUCAUGAUACAUUGCCCCAUCAACUUCAAAAAUUUUCAGAAGAAGGCUUGAAACUUUUAUAAAUUUUUAAGUUUUUAUCACAAUCGCCCCAUCAAUUUUUUGGAAAUAUCCUUCUCCAUUGAUAUCGCUCCCCUGUAUCCUGAAAAGUCCUCGUCUUCUCCAUCCUGAAUAGCUCCACAAAACUAUAUGAUGAGAAAUGAAAAAUGGAAGACGAUCAAUAUAUUCUUCGGUCGAAAUGCUAUUUCCUUGAAUUAACCCACCCGAGAUACCAGUGGAGAUUGUUAUGUGAUUUAAAGUUCAAGAAAAAGCAUAUGAUUAAAAGUAAAGGCAACACAGCCAUUGGUUUGACAAAAAAUGGGACCAUAUACAGCAAACAAAACCUAAGUACUACUGCUAGAAAAAAGUGAAGACAACAAAUUAGAGAUGAAAAGUGGGACGUACAAAUGUUUUGGAACAGAAGGUGUUAAUACUUCGGAAAACAGAUAAAAGACGGAUGAAUGACAAAAAAGCAAAUCGUGUACAAUUCUUGAUUCAUAUACACGCAAACUCGAGGACAAUGAUAGAAAACUAGUUGCAUGUGGGAUGUCAAAGUUAGUGCGCACCAAAUUAACACCAGCAAUAGAAAUAUCAGUAGCAUUUUAAACCGACGAAAAAGGCAAAAAGGAAAACCAAGAAAGAGAAUAACAAAGCAACACCAAAAGAAAAUAUACAUAUAUUUCAACCAUAAACUUUGCUUCUAAUUACAAAUGAACAUAUUAUACAAAAGCCCGGAUUCUUGACUAUCUACUGAUGAAGUUCUUGAUUUGGAAGAUUAACUCGUCAGUUCGAGUUAUAGCGAUCUGAGACUUGUUUAGAAUCUGAAAUGCAUGCCCGACCCCUUUAGACACCCCAUGCUCGACUUUCUUACCAGCACUAACUAAAGCAUUGCAAACCUCCAAAUUUCUGUCUUUCAAUAUGUCCAUUUCAGAUAUACAAACCACCAUUGGCACGAGCCUUAUAUCCUCCAAUUUUGGAGCCCCUUUUGCUAGUGGAUUGCACCAUGGGUGGUCACGGUUCGCCCCCACCGGCAAAGAUAGCCUCCAAUAUGUAUCUGAUGCUGCCAAAGUAAGCGCUGACCUAGGCGGCUGCACCAUAUACUUCUCUGAGUAAGUUCUGGACUCUCCUCCAAAAAAUGGUUGAAUCAAGAUCGCCCCCUUAAAGCCUAAUGGGCUUAAGGCCUCCAACUUGCCACCGGGCGAUCCCAGGCGGAUGGCGAUGUUGUAGGCGAUAUUUGCACCAGCACUAUCACCAGCAAGGAAGAUGCUGGAGAGGUUGCAUUUGCUAGUGAACCACUCAUUGGCUGCACUGAAGGCUUGUUGUUUGACCCAAAAAAGGGCCUUAAUGCCAUCAUCAUAUGCUGCUGGAAGAGGGUUUUCUGGGGCCAGACGAUAGUUGACUGACAUGAUCACACAAUUGGCUUUUGAUGCUAAUUUUGCAAGAAAUUCAUGGUAGCAACUCCAGGAAGCUGAACCGACGCAAAAUCCACCACCAUGAAAGUAUACUAGUAAAGGGAGUUUGGCACGGCAUUUGGGCACGUAAAACCGCGCCCAAACGUUUGUACAUUUGUCAAUGACGAUAUCUGUGGAGGUCAGGGCCUGAUCUGGAGCCACGGCACACGUAACACUUGGCACAAUCUGGGGUCUUUCCACGUGCCCAUCUUUGUAAACCUUAAUAAGCCCUUCAAUUUCUUCAUGAACUCUAUGUUGCUGAUUUUGUUCUUUGUUGAACUGAAGGCUCAAGCUCGGAUCAAACGUCAUGGCAGCCAUUCUCCUCUUUCUCAUAAAUAAAAGAUGUGCAAAUCUACCGAAGCCAAUUGUUAAAUGAUGCUUCUGUACUCAAAACGAAUAUAGACCAUGGACGCCUUUUAUACAGGCAGGGGGGCGUAAAAUUAGAAGGAGAAAUAUAAGGUCAGUUUUUGGUUCGGGAAUCACAUCAAGAUUCAAAUCCAAAAGUGGGAGGAUAGGGGCCUCCUAACUUUCAAUACCAUUAGGACAAUUGGGCAAGAUUGAUACUAGUCUUCACAUGGAGUCUACGAAGGUGGGCAGCAAUAUACAGAUCCCCCUUUCAACACCUUUAGGUUUUAGGUAUAUCCGAACUGAUAAAAAAAGAAUGUGAACGUAUUGCCAUUUUUCUCACUUCUAAUCACUUAAAGGUUCCACAAGUACCAUAAGUCAAUAAUCAUUCUCACCAAACUAAGGAAACUAUUUAACCAAACAAAUUUAGUGUUAAGAAAAGUUGGAGUUUAUUGCCAAAAUAACACUCUUGUUAAAAAAUAUUCCCAAUGUGAUUUACUUUCAAAAUUUAUUCCCAUAAUGAUGUUAUUGUUGCCAUCUAGUUAUCCUGAUUACCAUGCACGAUAACAAGAAAAGAAAGUUCAAAUCUAAUUUAUAGUAUCCAACAUGAACUAAAAUUUUAAAUUUUUUUUAUUACAGCGGCACAAGAAGAUUUCAUAACUUUUAUAAUUUCUUUAUAAUUAUUUAAAAUAAAUUCUACCAUUAUUGACCUUGCUAUUAUUGGGCUCUAAUUUUUUAAAAAUGUAUCAAAUCUAUUGCAUAUAUAUUUUUCAAAAAAUAAAUUUUAAAAAUACAAAAGUUGCAACAAAAAUUUCAACAAAAAUUGUAAGCAAUUUAAAAACUUCAAGACUAUCAUAUUUAUUUAUGUUAUCAUUCCUACUCCUUAAAAAGACACGAGAAUAAUUUUCAUUUGCCUUGAGAUUAUCAACUCGAGAAGCAUAUUUUUUAGAUGCUGUUAAUAUAAAUAUUGACUUCUUAGAAUUACAAGUGUGUUUGGAUUGAAGAUUAUUUCACUUUAUUUACACCUUAUUUACACACACUGACUUGCUUGUAUCAUCAACACAUUUUUCUCUCACAUACAUCAUAUAAAAAAAAAUGCUACAGUAAAAAUAUCUCAAAUAUAUGUUUGACAAGGGAAAGAUAAUGAAACAAAAAAAUGCGAGAAGAUUUAGAAAGAAAAUUGGAGAAGAUAUUAGAUGGAAAAGAGAAAUGGAAUGUGUUUUUAUCUCCAUCCUGACACAUAUGCUGCCUGAGUGGCAAAAAAAGGAUUAUAAAGGUAAUAAAUUAUAAAAAUAGGUUACUUUGGGUAUAUGUUUUGGAAGAAAAGUUAUUUUGGCAAUAAACUCAGAAAAGUUGAUUAAGGCACUAAAAAACGUGUCUCUAGUACAAACACGUUGUCUCGAAUACCUGUCUGGAUCCUUCAGUUUUUCAAAAACUAGUUUUUUAAAUACUAUAAAAAUUUUUAAAAAGUAUUCUAAAAGAUACUUUAAAAAAUAUCUCAAAAUAUAUUUUAAAAACUUUACUACUCUUAAAUAUUUCAAAAUAUUUUCUAGAAAUAUCUCAAAAUAUACUCUAAAAAUUUUGCUACAGUAAAAUUUUAGUAAAAUUUUUCAAAAACACCAUAAAAACAGCUAAUCCAAACGAAGUCCAAAAACCAUACCUUAAAGGUUUAUUAUACAUAUGGCUAAAGAUGUGCAUCUUCUAUUUUGACUACCCCAAGAAUAAUAUUUUGGAGUGCGUAUUUAUAUAAUCAAUAUUUGAAAAUUUGGUGGGGUGAUUUCAUCUUGUCAUGUUUUGGACCAAACCGGACCACAACACAACCGACCUCAACUGAGGCUGUCCCCCAAGAAGGCAAGAACAUACUUUCGUAGAACAAUUAUUAAGCUACCUUUAAAAUUGGGGAAUGCUAGAUAUUUCACCCACAAUGAGAUUGGCGUGUGGAACUUGAAAGUUGACGGUGCUGCUAAGUGAUCCAGACACUUUUGGAGAAGCCGAGCAGCAAACUUUUUAAAGAAGCCCCCCUUUCCCUAUUAUAUUAUGAGGACGUCCGUGGAACAUGCUUGUCAUCGCCCUCGUGCCUUUCUGAGCCCACAACAAAAAUUGUUUAGUUUCUUUGGUCAAAGCCAUCUGUUAGUCAAAAAAAAAAAAAUUUUUUUUUUUUUUGGCCUUUUCAUUUCAAUUGGUUACAGAGUAUUCCGAGUGUCCGUUACAUCAAGUCUUCACCUCCAAUAGCUGUAUCUGAGUUGAGUAUCUUGAGGAAUCAGGUACUUCAUAUCUUUCGUGUCCAACUCUUCUUUUAGAAGUAUACUUUUUUUCUUUUCUUUUUUUGGGAUAGCAAGCUGCACAAGUUGAAGACUGGCCUAUUUUGAUUUUUAGCCUGUGCUCAGCUGCUCUUUGAUACUGAAUAUGUACAUUAAUUUCAAAUUCUUUGAAAUUGCAAUAAAAUUAUUACAUGGUAUACUUUUGUUGAAAAGAGAGAAAUUAGAAUAAUACAGUCAGAAAUUUUGUGACGUAAUAAUAUAUGUGAGAUGAAAGGUGAUUAAAAAGAUUUUAAAAAAUAUAUUUAUAAUUAUAAAAUCAAAAUCAUACUUACAAAUACUAGCCAAUUCAAACUCCCUCGUUGCAUCAAGAAGCAAGCAGGAAAUUUCAAAAGGUAGGAUCGAUGAUGACAUGAUGCUAAAGAGGAUCAAGAAGAUAAAGAGCAAAAUAUAUGCAGCUGAGAAUAAAAUCAUCAAAGUAUAUGCAACUGGCCAACCACCUUUAUUCUUUACGCAUCUUCUAUCUUUUUGACCACCAUUGUUCGCUAUUUCGGAUAAGUACUUCUGUACUGGAAUUGUACAGGAAUGAACAGUUUAAUCAGAUGGAAGGGAGGAAUCAUUGCAUAUUUGUAAAUCAGACGUCUGAUCGAGAUCUUUGAUCUCUGAUCAAAAGUAGGCAGCUAAAGGCGUGCAGCAUUUGUGUUCAGGAAUUAUAGAUUGGUCAACUUAAUCCUGUGGUUGGAUUUUGGCAAAAUCCAGGUGAUGGAUUCAGGUCAUCAAUUUGUCCUCCAUGAUUCUCCACAAUAAAACAGUUUGACACUAUCAAAAUGUUACGCCAUGCACACAUAUAUAUGUAUAUGUAUAUAUAUUUGUCAGAUAAGUAAUAUAUUAGCUAGAUAAGUUUUGAAAUAGAACGUAUGUUCAUGCUAGUACUGAGUAAGCAGAGCUUGAAUUAAUUAGUCUUAUAUACUUUAUCCUCAACCAUGUCUUAUUUGUUCCUUGUCAAAGUCGGUGGAUUUCUUGGUUUGAGAUGGCUUAGAUUUGGUCAUUUUUUCUAACUUACAAGUUUGGUUUAUGGUUGGUGCAAGUGAAUGAGAAUAUUGUAGUGCUUAUAAGAUAUUUAGAGGCAACAUAACUAAUAUUCGGAAAAUAAAUUAAUUCAAUGGUUUUUUUUUCAAAAAAAUUUCUUUUUGAUGUGAUGUAGAUUAAACUCUGAAUAAGGGUCUUUUUCCAAGUUGUUACUGAAUCAAUCAAAAUUGAACCAAAUCACAUGGCCUUCACGUUUGAAGUCGAUCGAUUCCAUUCGUUUGCAGGACAUAAUUCUUUGGGCAUCUAGUUUCUAAUUAUCUUAAGCUUGUGAUUUGAUUGACAAGGAAUAGAAUGAUAUCAAUAUCCCUUUCAGCUAGCCUUGUUAAAUGCAAGAACCAAGUUUCAUGUAGAACCCAGCAUUUUCUGUUUUUCAUUUUUUAUUUUUUUUAAGAUGCAGGACAAAAAUAUCUGAAAAAUCAUACCCAUCACUUCCUUAAGAUAUUCAAAAUACAUUUUUUUUACGUUAUUUAAAAUACAUUUUACCACAACCAUGCAACAAAUACAAACUAUUUACUUUUCAAGAAUUAAUGGACAAAUUCUGUUGGCGGUAGAUAAGCACUAAAACAAGUACAUGCAUGCGUUUACCUACCUAAUCUAAGCAAGAAACUUCACCCUCUAGCGCUUCAUGUCAACUUUCAUUGAAGGAGGUAGAGAAGCACUUCUUUUCUUCCUCUCCAUGUUCCCAUGCCACCCUAUCCAAGCCAAACCAUGCAUCUUACUGGUAAAAAUCCUUGACAAAAUGCAACAAUAUAUAUAUAUAUAUAUAUAUAUAUCACGUAUACAUGCAAUGCAAUGUUAAUAUAAUGGCCAUGCAAAUCAUUUUAAUAAGUCACCACCUAUGGACAUAUCGAAUCCGAGGUUCUUGAGUUCUCUAUACUCUUGGCAUAGAGCACACGGCUCAUAACAACAAUGGACGCAGCAAUCACAGCAUGGUUUCUCUUCCAAAAAGUAUUGUCCCCUUAAUUUUGAUCGAUAAAAACAUGAGUAUAAACAUGGACAGCCCGUCAUGAACAAGAUCAACAUGUACAGUCCUCCGCUAACACCACAUGCUGCAAUAUAUGACACAUCCUAGUCGAUUAUUAUCGUUAAAAAAAAAAAGAAGCAAAAUGAUUGGGAAUUAAUCGAUUUUGCCAAAUAAAAUUUAUUAUUCUUGGCAGCUUACAAGUUGAUCCUCUGUCGAGGAUGUCCGCAAUCCGUCCAAACGUGAUACAUGGACACCAACACGUUAGGCAACCUGUGAAUUGAUGAAAUUUAUAUAUUGGAAUAUUGAUCGGUAAUAAGAAAAAUUACACAACAGCACGUGCUAAUUACUUAAUCUAGAUAUUAUUUUUGUUUUUUUAAGAGGAAAUGUAGAUUUGCUCCAUGCAUAAACUUCUUUUCUCUAAUCUCUUUGGUUCUUAUAUAAAUAUGUCUACAAGCUAGUAUAGAAACUAUUAAAUAGGAUCUAGAGUAAACUACAAAUGUAAAGUUCUAAGCUUGGGACUGUCUUUUCCCAAUCUAAUGAUUUCCAUGUUACAUGUAUCAGAACCCAGAACGUUUUCGUAAAUAUAUUUUUCAAAUAGCUUUUGAUAUCAUAUAAAUCAAAUUGCUACAGCAUGUUUUUUAAUAGAAAAUUCAGAAAAUAGCAAUCCAAAUGAGACCGAGUCUACGCUGGCUUGAGACUAUUUAUUUAUUGCAUCAUUCUUCAUCUAUUGUUUACUUUCUUCAACUGAAAUUAAACAAAACAAUCCCAAUUAAAAUUUUUUUAUUAUAUUAUCUAUGUUACAAAGUUACAUACUCCCAUAUCUUGCAAUUACCCCACCAAUUUUUUUUUAAAAAAAAUCAUUUAUUAUUUUUUUGAAAAUUUACUAGCGCGUUGAAAAGAUACCUACACCACCAACAAAAGUAAAAAAAGUAAAGGUUAUCUGUACAGAUCCCAACUUAACGAAAGUGACUGGAGGAAAUAGAUGUGUACUUACAAGUAUUCGGGUCACUCCAGCAAUGACAUAGACCAGUGGACCAGGGGUCCAAAGCCUCUCGAAGAUUCUUUUGAUCUUGACCCGAGGCUUUGAUUGGAAUGGUAGCAGGGGCUGGGUUUGGCCCGUUUGGGUCCGCAUCAUCAUGACCGGAAGAAAUUUGCGCCAUGGAUACAGCGGUUGGCGGCUGCUGUGGGGCUGAUGGUGGUGGUGGGAAGAAUUCACCAUUUGAACAUGCUGAGGAAAACAUAAUUAAUUUCACCGUAAAAGAAGAAGAAGGAGAAGAAAAACUGAAAAAGGGGUAAAGAAAUUUGUGGAAUUUGAGGUCUAAGUUUUCUGGUAAUAGGAGUAGCAUCCCUGGGAAUUUUGGCAGAUGACGGUUGGGAACGGUUAUGAGAUCGGGCGCGAAAUGGAUUUUUAACUUUUGUUGGACUACGAGUUGAGGUCCAUGUCCACACAAACCCCAUUAGCCCGUGAGCUUUCUCGGGAAAACUAUGGGCUCGUCUAGUGGAUCUGUGGGAGGCUUAUUUUCCACCAAUGGAUCCUUGCAAUAUCUUUUGAUGAACAACAAUUGCAAUUACCGGAAACGUAUAACUCUUUCCGUCUUUCUGGUCAGUUAUUUUCUGUGGAUGCCUUUUUUUUCUUUUUUCUUUGUAAAAUUUCUUAAUCUUCCUAGGGGAUGGUUAGUGUAAGUGGAAUGAGGAACAUGGCGAUUUGGAAGUGCAAUCAUAAAAUGCUAUUAAUAGUCUAGAUAAGUACAAAAAUUAAAGCUUCUAUAAAUACAGAUACACCUAAAAUAUCGAAACUUAUUGUCUAUGAAUAAACAAAAAUUGUUUCAAUCUCUCGAUUUCUACGGAAGGGAAAAAGAAUUUCACGCUCUUUCUCUUGGAAAGGGAGGAUUAGGGAAUCCUAUUGAUUGCAGAUUCCUCCAGACCCUGUUUGAAUAUUAUUCAUUUUAAAAUUACAAAAAAUUAUUAAAAAAAGAUUAGAAAUAAACGUCUCAAUCUAGAUCGAACUUAUAUGGUCUAAUUUGAGCCAUUAAUGGCACCCUGCGGUUUGUAGGUGAAACUGUAAAGGCCCCAAACUCUAGAUAAAUUCUAGGGAUAAUUUGAGAAACCUCCUCUGAGGUUUCUGAUAAUUUCACUGAACUCCCUUGAGAUUUAAAAUAUUACACUUACCUUCCUUGAUUUAAUAGUUUUAGUAACAAAAUCUUAAAAUAAUAUAGACUUGGUCAAUUUUUUUAAAUGAAUACCCAAAAAUGCCUUUGUGUAAUGAGUUUUAAUUUAUUUUCCUAUACAAUUAUAAGAUUAUCUAGUAUAAUUAUAAGGAAAAUGUGUCAAAUUUUUCAUGUCCAUACCUACUAUUUGAUAAACAACUAUAAUAAUAAUUUUAUCACUAUAAUUGGAUACUUUUGAUGGUACUUUAUUAUGGAUUUAGAUUUAUAAGAUAGAAAAAAAAUAUUGAAAUAAUUCAUUUAGAAUUUAUGAAUUUUUUGGGUGGUGGGAUUAUCAUAAUUUGGUAGUGAUUUUGGGUCAUUUCUUUUGAUUUAUUGUUAAUUUUAGUACUAAAAAAUAGAAAACAAUGAUCAACAAAAACAUUGGAUUAUAUAUAAAAUUAACUUGUCAAAAAAAUUACUAGUUUGACAUUUGGUUACAAUAGAAACUAAAAACAUAGCGGUAGUUCUACAAUUUUAUUGGCAAAAAAUUAAAAAAAGGAAUAAGAAGGAAAAAUAAUGAAAAAUAAUUUUAAAACUCAUUCUAAAUAUAAGCAUACCAAAUAAGAGAAUUUCAUUAAAAUAUUUAACGGUAAAAUUGUCAUUUUAAAUAACAAGGGAGAUAUGUGUAAUUUUUCAAACCUUAAAGAAGCUCAGUGAAAUUGUCAGGAAUCUCAGGGGAGGUUUCUGAAAUUAUCCCUAAAUUCUAAUCAUUGUUGACUUGGCACUGCCACACAGUUGGUCGAGAGCUUUGGAGCAAGUUAACAGCCUUUAUAAUGAAAUUGUAAAAUAACUUUUAUAUUAGAAGGUACCUUCAUCACAAUCUAAAAAUUGUAGGGGCGCAAAAAAUCUAGUUUUGUGAAGUAAGGGGCAAACAACCCCCUAAGUUUUGUGGGAAUGAUGAACUGACCAAAAUUCAUAUGAUUGGGCUAUCCCUAGAAUAAUUUCCUUAGCGUGCUUAUCCUCACCUUCCGUGACUACUUGCUUUUACGAAUGUUAAGAAAUCUUGAAAUGGAAAUACUUAAACUAAAAAAUAGCCGACAAAGAGAAACUUCAUUGCAAGACUACCAAAAAAAAAAAUAAUAAUAAUAACAGUGAUAUCCAAAUAAAUGAAUAAUAGCAGCAAAUUAUGUCCUUGUGUCUAGCUUUGACUGCCAAAUUCACUAGCCAACGCCAUAAAUGUGAAUGCUCAGAGGUGAAAUUAACUCUAUUUUUUGUUUUCUAGGACUAGUUGUAUGCGAAACGACCAGCAGCAUUACAUGUGACAGCGAAAUGAUAACUCUCUAGUCCCCAUUACACAACUUAGUUGAUUUUUUACGUAUUACUCAUAAAUUGCUGUGCAAUUGAACAUUAAGAGAGAAGCCAUGCAGAUCUGGUUAAUUAUAAUAGAAGAUAAUAGUAAGAAGUAGGCGGCAUGCAUGCACGGCUAAAAUAUGGAACUAGGCAUAUUCUCAAAAUUUUUGGCUAUAUCUGAAAAAUCUCGACAGGAAUUCUCAUCUAUUUAGAACCAUGAAGAAAUCAAAUAAUUAUCUUAGGCACCAGUUACUCCCAACUGCAUAUAAAUAGGAAGAAAGUUGUCUUCCAGCCAUAGAUCUCACAUCAUCAUCAGGCCCGGGUGGAAAUGGCUGGCUCUCCCGGUAGUCCUAUUGGUGGCUACCACAAUUAUGAGGAUGAUGACUUCUAUGUUGAACUGAAAAGCCAAAUUUUGCAAUUGACAGCAGAUGAUGAUAAAUUCAGAAGAUUAUCCAGAAGCCAAAAAUUCAACAGGGCUGCAUAGUAGCCUACCUUACUGCGAAUAAGGCCUACAAUAACUUAACUGGUAGGGGAUUGAUAGUGCUGCUUUGCUACCGAUAAAUCUAUCCUAUAAUAUGUCUGAGAAUUUGUGAAGGCACUGGAGUGUUAUAAACAAAUUGAAUUCCUUGUAUUGUAUAUGUACAUCACAUGUUCAGUUACGUAGAUUCGUAAAUAUUAGUAUUGUUGGUGCAAAUUCUUCCAAUGGUUUUGCUUUGCUUCUCUUUGCUUGAUUCCUCGUCAUUUCUGCAUUUUCUUUUCCAGUGGGGUUCUAACCUCUUUUGUUUUCCUUGCUUUGUAUUAUGAUUGAAGCACUGUAAAAAUUAAUCUUAUCUGCUUUAGUAUUUUAUUCGAAGGGUGUUCUCUGUCACUACCUCAUUCGUAACUCUUCAAACACUGUAUAAUUCUUAACUCAUUAAGUUUGCCUUCUGGCCACGUUUUUUGAAAUUCAGGUGCUUCCCUCGACUUGUCAAACAAGUUAACCGCUACCCAAAAACGUGUAAAGUGCAAAUGCCAGAUUUUGUCCAUUUCAGAGCUACAGAGAGCAAAGAAAUGGAGAUCUCAAACGUCCCAUUUCAGUACUCAGUAUUAGGAUUCAUCUUACAAAAUUUGAAGGAGUCAGUUCAAUGCAACACUGAAUUAAUUGGUGGAGUUUCAAAAAGCGUGAAGCGACUCUGCGGUGAUCUUGAUACAUUGAGAGCAUUUAUCAAGGAGUACUAUGAGAGGCGGAGCAACAGCCAAAUCUUGGAGAAGUUGGCGAACGAGAUAAGAAACGUGGUUUAUCAAGCCGAGGAUGCUAUUGAAACUUAUAUUGUUUUGGAAUCAAAGCAUAAGGGUCGACGCACAAUUGGUGUAGCUAGCGGCCGAUCAUAUUGGUGGUUAUGUUUCUGAUGCUUUGAAUGCCACCAAACAGAUUGAGGAUGUUUGUAGAAAGUUGAAGGAGAUUUAUCACAUCAAGACGCCAUUGGUUCCUGAUGCCAUGCAAGUUGGUCAGAGUUCCAAAAGGAUUCCAAAGAAGGAAGAGGUAAGGAUGGGCUAUUACUUCCCUUUUUAGAUUUUUUUUACAAGGCAUUGGUAUUCUAUUUUACUUUGAACUUUGAAGACGCACCAUUAGAAAUUCACCUACUCAAUGGGGUACAAAUUUUCCUAUGUUGUAAUCAUUUUCCAACUUCUAAUCCUUGUAAGUGCAUGUCCUCAAUUUCCUAUUCUAAAUUAACUUCGAUGAUCUUGGGGUGUCGUGCCAAUGUUGUCCAUACCUGCAGGCUGUCACUGAAGAGGAAGAUAAUGUGGUUGGCCUAGACGAUGAAGCCUAAAAUGUAAUUGAGCUUCUUACCGAAGGAUCACAGGAACUAGAGGUUAUCUCAGUCAUUGGCAUGCAUGGUUUAGGAAAGACCACACUAGCUAAAAAGGUUUUAAAUGACCCAACGAUUGAAUUCAAGUUCUAUAGUCGUGCAUUUGUGGAAGUCUCCCAAGAAUUCGAGAGAAGGGAAGUGUUCCUCCAUAUUUUAGGUGCUUUUACCAAGAUCACAGAAGAAAUUAAGGACUUGUCAGAUGACAAAUUAGUUAAAGAACUUCACCGGCAGUAAAAGACAAGGAAGUAUUUGAUUGUCUUAGAUGAUGUCUGGACUCCAGAAGCAUGGGAUCAAUUAAAACUUGCCUUUCCCAACAAUGACAAGCAAAGCAGAAUAUUAAUUACUAGUCACAAUGAACCUGUGGCCUUUCAUGCUAAUCCAAGUUGUGAUCCUCAUUACUUGCGCUGUUUGGAUUUAGAAGACAGUAGAGAGUUGCUAAGAAAGAAAGUUUUUGGAAAGAGUGACUGCCCAGGAGAGUUGGAGAAGCUUGAACUAAGUAUCCUGCUGAAAUGUGAUGGAUUGCCUCUAGCAAUAGUGAUAGUUGCAGGUGUUCUCUUGAAUUAUAGAGACAGAACUGAUUGGUGGAAAAAGUUACUGAAGAUUUAGAUCAUUUUGUUGCUAAACAUCCAGAACAAAGCCACGGAGUAAUAAGAUUAAGUUACGAACAUUUACCUCAUCACCUGAAGCCAUGUUUCCUCUAUCUUGGGGUCUUCCGUGAAGACAUUGACAUCCCAGUUUGGAAGCUAUUGAAGAUUAUAUUAUGUAUAUGUCUAUCUGGGUACCUUUGGUUACUCUCUGUACCCGUUUUCCUCGGUAAUAUCUUUAGGAGUAGUUGAGGUAUGUUAGACCUCUGUCAUUGAGGUGUGAUAGAACUCUGUUUUUCAAUUGGGAUGUAAUAGGACUCUGGUCUCGGUACCUGUAUAUAUGGAAGGCACGGAAGCAAUAGAAAGGGGACUUUUCCCUCACAGAAUUUCUUUCAUGGUAUCAGAGCGAUGGAUGACGAAGGGAAAAGCAAGAAUGUUGGGAAGAAAUCUGUUUCACCAUACAUCUUGACUUCGAAUGACAAUCCUGGAACCAUUAUUACCCAGGUACAAUUGAAAGGUGACAAUUAUGAUGAAUGGGCUCGAGCUAUGCGCACAGCGUUGAGAGCCAAGAAGAAGAUGGGAUUUGUUGAUGGAACGGUGACGCAUCCGGAUGACGAUUCCGUCGAUCUAGAGGAUUGGUGGACCGUGAAUUCGAUGGUAGUGUCAUGGAUUCUCAACACGAUAGAGCCAGCUUUGCGUUCCACCAUAACUCAUGUGGAAAUUGCAAAGGACCUUUGGGAAGACAUCCAAGAAAGGUUCUCUGUCGCUAACGGGCCUCGGGUACAACAAAUCAAAGGAGAGAUUGCAGAAUGGAAACAACGGGGACUUCCAAUUGUGACCUACUAUGGGAAAUUGAAGCAAUUGUGGGAGGAACUAGCAAACUAUGAACAAAUUCCGACAUGCCAAUGUGGAAGAUGCGUAUGCAAUCUUUCAGUCCAACUUGACAAGAAACGUGAGGAAGAGAAACUUCAUCAGUUCUUGUUGGGUUUGGAUGACAUGGCAAAUGGAACAAUUCGUUCAAACAUUCUUGGUACAGAACCACUACCCAGUGUGGGUAAGGCAUACUCCUUGAUAUGCCAAGAGGAGCGCGUCCGAAGCAUGUCUAGAGGAAAGGAGGGACGUGGAGAUCCCGUGAGUUUUGCCGUUCAGGCCAACGCAGGAGGUAGGAAACUUGGGACUGAAAUAAAGGACAGGUCUGCGCUGUGUUCAUAUUGCAAUCGCAGCGGGCAUGAUGCUGGAAACUGUUUUCAGCUUAUUGGAUAUCCUGAAUGGUGGGGUGAUCGGCCCAAAGGAAAUGGACGCGGUUCAGGACGUGGACGCGGAAACCAGAAUUCAGGACGUGGACGUGGGGGUGCACAUCGGGCUAACUCUGUUCAGACGAUUGGUCAGUCCUCCUCGUCAACAGUAACCGCAGAAAGGGAGCAUACAGCACAAGGAUUGUUGAAUGGUGAACAGUGGGCAGCUUUCCUGAGUCUGCUGAAUUCUUGCAAGCCUGGUGCCAAUGAAAAGCUAUCGGGUAAGCAUUAUUUGAACUGGAUAAUUGACUCGGGUGCGUCUCACCAUAUGACUGGAAGUUUAGAAUGUCUAUCUGAAUUGAAGAAUUUGACGGGGUGUGCAGUAGGAUUGUCUGAUGGCAACCAAACCAUAGCAGUGAAAGAAGGGUCAGCUCGUUUGGGGAAACAUAUGAAGUCGAAGAAAGUGCUAUAUGUCCCCAAUUUGAACUGCAAUUUAAUUUCAGUAUCACAAUUGCUUGACGAAUUAAAUUGCAAUGUUUUAUUUACUAAAAAAUUAUGUGUUAUACAGGACCGCACUUCGAGGAUGGUGAUUGGAGCGGGUGAACGACGCGAAGGGCUUUACUACCUCAAGUCCAUGGGAGAAAUCAAAGCGUGCAAUACCAAAUGUCUGGAUAUCAGUGGGCUAUGGCAUAGAAGAAUGGGACACCCAUCUGCAAAAAUAGUAGGAUUACUUCCUGAUGUGAGUUCUAGCAGUAACAAUUAUGAUAAGGGAAAACUUUGUGACAUUUGUUUAAGAGCCAAGCAGACUAGAGAAGUAUUUUUUCCUAGUGAUAAUAAAGCAAAUGCAAUUUUUGAGAUGAUACAUUGUGACAUAUGGGGACCCUAUCGAACUACUGCUUCGUGUGGUGCCUCAUAUUUUUUAACUAUUGUGGAUGAUUUUUCAAGAGCUGUGUGGAUAUAUAUGUUGGUUGUUAAGUCCGAAGUAGAACGUGUGCUUCGUAAUUUCUUUGCCAUGGUCAAACGACAAUAUAACAAGAAUGUGAAAAUUGUUAGAAGUGACAAUGGCAUGGAAUUCACUUGCUUGGAUGGUUACUUUGCUGAAAAUGGAAUGAUACACCAUACAUCAUGCGUAAGUACACCCCAGCAGAAUGGGCGGGUUGAAAGAAAACAUCGCCAUAUUUUGAACGUGGCUAGGGCAUUACGUUUUCAGGCGAAUCUCCCUAUUGAAUUUUGGGGAGAAUGUGUGCUGACUGCUGGAUACUUGAUUAAUCGGACUCCAUCCAAACUUUUGGGGAAUAAGACGCCGUAUGAAUGUUUGUUUGGAGAGCCACCCAGUUACAAACAUAUUCGUGUAUUCGGAUGUUUGUGUUAUGCUAGGGAUAUGAAUAGAGAAAGAGAUAAGUUUGCCACUAGGAGUCGGCGUUGUUUAUUUGUGGGGUAUCCCUUUGGUAAGAAGGGAUGGCGGUUGUAUGACCUUGAAAAUGGUGACUAUUUUGUAUCACGAGAUGUGGUGUUUUCAGAAGAUGAGUUUCCGUAUGCGAAAGUAAGUGCACCUAAUACGACUAAAGAUGUCCUGGGGACAAGUUCACUUGAGCCAUUUGACCUUGUGGAAGACGAAGUGGAUGAUGCAAGGGAAGAUGAUCUACUUACAGAGGUUGCGAGUAUAAUACCGGAGAUCACGGAUCGGGUUCACAAUGAUGAGAAUAACGAAGACAGGGGGGGCACCACAGGCGCAGAAGCUGGAUUGGUUGCUGAGCAACUUGGGCGUGGUCAACGAAUGAAGCACCCAUCUAGUCGCUUAAAUGAUUAUGUGACGUACACAGCUCAAUGCAUAAGCCCUUCAGCGUGUUCACCCAAACCAAUCUCAUCCUCAGGUACUCCUUAUCCUAUAGCGCAUUAUGUAACAUGUGAUAAUUUUUCUGUGCAUCAUCGGUCUUUCUUGGCAGCUGUGACAACCGGUAGGGAGCCAAAAUUUUAUAGUGAGGCAGUGAAGGACUCUCGGUGGCGCCAAGCCAUGAAGAAUGAAAUCGAUGCACUUGAGACUAAUGGAACAUGGACGGUGGAAGAUCUACCACCGGGAAAGAAAGCCAUAGGCAGCAAAUGGGUAUACAAAAUCAAGUAUAACUCAGAUGGAACUGUCGAGCGGUAUAAGGCACGUCUGGUGAUUCUUGGCAAUAAUCAGGUUGAGGGAAUUGACUAUCAUGAAACAUUCUCUCCUGUUGUGAAAAUGGUGACUGUACGCACGUUCUUGGCGGUGGCGGCAGCAAAGGAAUGGGAACUUCACCAGAUGGAUGUUCACAAUGCAUUCUUGCAUGGUGAUUUGGAAGAGGAAGUGUACAUGAAGAUGCCUCCGGGUUUUACAACUCCACAAUUUGGAAAGGUGUGUAGACUACGAAAGUCUCUUUAUGGAUUGCGACAGGCUCCACGUUGUUGGUUUGCUAAACUCACAAAUGCCUUACGGCAGUACGGUUUUUCUCAAUCUCAUUCUGAUUAUUCAUUGUUUACUCUGAGUCAGAAUACCAUUCAAAUGAGUAUACUUGUAUAUGUUGAUGACCUUGUAAUUGGGGGCAAUAAUAGUGCUGCAAUUCAACAAUUCAAGGAAUAUUUGUGUCAAUGCUUCCAUAUGAAAGACUUAGGAAUAUUAAAAUAUUUCUUAGGAUUGGAAGUUGCUAGAAAUAAGGCUGGAAUUUUUCUCUGUCAACGAAAGUAUGCACUGGAUAUUAUUGCUGAUGCCGGGUUAUUGGGUGCUCGGCCAACAGGAAUUCCGAUGGAGCAACAUCAUCGGUUGGCAAUGGCAGACAGCAUGCCUUUGGUAGAGCCAGAAAAGUAUAGGCGGUUAGUAGGCCGGUUAAUUUAUUUGACACUAACACGCCCUGAGCUGUCUUAUGGUGUCCAUGUUCUAGCUCAGUUUAUGCAGAAACCCAAAGAGGAGCAUUGGGAGGCAGCCUUGCGGAUGGUUCGCUAUUUGAAGGGCAGCCCUGGUCAAGGCAUACUCCUUCGAUCGGACUGCAAUUUGCAACUGCAAGCAUAUUGUGAUUCGGACUGGGCAAGCUGUCCUCUGACACGUCGCUCUCUCACUGGAUACCUUGUUUUUUUGGGCAACUCUCCUAUAUCUUGGAAAACUAAGAAGCAACAUACAGUGUCCAGGUCAUCUGCUGAAGCAGAGUAUCGCUCUAUGGCUGUGACCAUCUGUGAGCUGCGAUGGUUGAAGGGUCUGCUAGCUUCCCUUGGGGUGUUACAUUCUGGUCUUAUGCAUCUUUACUGUGAUAGUCAAGCAGCCAUGCAUAUAGCGGCUAAUCCUGUGUUUCAUGAGCGAACAAAACAUAUCGAGGUGGAUUGUCAUUUUGUGCGUGAUGAAGUUCAGAGUGGAAAUGUUACUACCACUUAUGUGCGUAGUUCUGAGCAGUUAGCCGAUAUCUUUACCAAGGCGCUUGGGAGACAACAAUUCGAGUAUCUUCUUCGCAAGUUGGGCGUUUGUGAUCUGCACGCACCAACUUGAGGGGGGGUAUUGAAGAUUAUAUUAUGUAUAUGUCUAUCUGGGUACCUUUGGUUACUCUCUGUACCCGUUUUCCUCGGUAAUAUCUUUAGGAGUAGUUGAGGUAUGUUAGACCUCUGUCAUUGAGGUGUGAUAGAACUCUGUUUUUCAAUUGGGAUGUAAUAGGACUCUGGUCUCGGUACCUGUAUAUAUGGAAGGCACGGAAGCAAUAGAAAGGGGACUUUUCCCUCACAGAAUUUCUUUCAGAAGCUGUUGCAAUUGUGGAUUGCAGAAGGAUUCGUACAGAAAGAUCAUGAUAUAAGCUUGGAAGAAAAAGCAGAGGCUUACUUAGACGACCUGGUGAGCAGGAAUUUGGUAAUGGUGGGUCAGAGGGGAUCCAGUGGUCGAAUCAAAACUUGUCGUAUACAUGACAGUUUGCGGGACUUCUGCAGAAGGUAGGCGAUGAAAGAAAAUCUGUUUCAGGAAGUUGAAAGGUAUGAUCAAUCCACCUUUUCAACAGAACACACUUCCUUGGAUAAUGCCUACCGCCUUUGCAUGAAUUUCCAUCUUUUGGAUGGUAUUGAAAACCUAUCUGGUAUACAUAUUCGCUCUUUUUUGAGUUUUGCCAAGAAAGAGACUAAGCUACUUCCAGAACAUAUCUCGUGCAUCCCUAGAGCCUUCAAAUUACUCAGAGUGUUAGAUGUUAGAUCAAUCAUAUUUACUAGUUUUCCUGGUGAGCUAGUCUACUUGGUUCUCUUGAGAUAUAUUGCUCUCUCUUCUAGAUGCAAGAUCCUUCCAGAGAAAAUGUCUAACCUUCAAAUCUUGCGAACUGUUAUAUUUGAAACAUCAUGGCCUACCCUUGAGAUCAAGGCAGACAUAUGGAAGAUGCCACAACUAAGGCAUCUAAUCACCAACACUUCUGCAUGUUUACCUUUGCCACUUGCAAAAAUCCACAAGGGUGAACCCUCCAUAAGUGCAAAUCUACAAACCCUUUCAUCAAUCUCACCAGAGAGUUGCAAAAAGGAUGUAUUUGAGAGGGUUCCUAAACUCAAGAAAUUGGGUAUAUGUGGGAUUGGCAUCAUUUAUGCAGGGCAGCAAUGAAUCCAGUUUAUUCGACAGUUUCUCCAAGUUAGAGUUCUUGGAAAAUUUGAAACUAAUCAAUGAUGAUUUCAACUCUAAACUACAUUUCCUUCCUCAUGAAUGCAAGUUUCCAAGGAGUCUAACAAGGUUGACUUUGUUAAAUACCAUGCUUGAUUGGAAACACAUGUCAAUACUGGGAAAGUUGGAGAAUCUUGAGGUACUCAAGUUGAAGGACAACGCAUUUGAGGGAAAGAGCUAGGUGGCAAACAGGAAGGUGGUUUUCUUCGCCUUCAAGUUUUGAAUAUUGGCAGCACUAACUUAGUAACUUGGAAAGCUUCAGCGAGCGAUUUUCCAAGACUGAGAUGCCUAGUUCUUUUGCACUGCAAUAAGCUCGAGGCCAUGCCACCUGGGAUUGCGCAAAUAGCCAGCCUCCAAGCAGUUGAAGUAUAUUGCACCAGUGAUUCGGCAGUUUACUCCGCUAAGAAGAUUCAGGCGUUGAAACUAGAAUCGCAAUCACAGCAACCAAACACUGGUACCAAAAGUCGCGGAUUUAAGCUCUCUGUUUACCCUCCGGAAGAGUGAUCUUUCAUGAUAGAUAAGUGAAAUAGUUUUUCUUCCACCAUUUUUAGUUAUCUCCCUUGUUCCUUGAUCAUCUUGCAACUUAAAGUUUGGUUCUUCGCAAUUGAACCAGACCUUUCUUACAGUUAUCCUAGUCGACAGCGCUCAUUCAUUUGAUUUGAUUCCGAUUGCAAGUACAAGAGUGACUCUGCAUGUCCACAUAAUUUUGUACUUUUUGAAUAUGCAUUCAUCUGUUGCAAAAGAUUUCCCGUCAACUAAAAGCUGCCCUAUAAUAAAUACAGUAAAUAAUAGGAUUAUUAACUAGUGGACUUCGUGUAGCAAGGUUAUGCAUCUUAGACACUCAGGAAGUCUUGUAUCCAUGCAGGCAUCAUUAACAUUUCCAGUAUUUGCAAGGCUGCCUGGAAUAUUUUUCAGUCGUCAGUAUUUUCUAGUACACUAGUUGGUUUGCUCAAUUUUAAACAUGAUUUUGUUGCAACAAGGAUCGGUCCAUUGGAUUUUUAUUGGGUUAAGACGCUUGCUAGACUUGACAAGGUCGCAACUCUAUUCACCAUUCACAGGAUAGAUCCUGUCCUUCUACAACAAUUGCAGUGGACUUUGGGAUUACGAAAGAUGUACGUGCAAAGCUCUAUCCUGAGAAUAUGUUCCAUCGAGGGAUGGGUUGCGAAAGGUUUAUGUGUAAAGCCUACUCAGUGUAUUGUGUGACGGUUUGUUGGUGUAAAACACUUAAACUCUUGUCCUGUUACUUGAGUGUGAUUUGGAUAUUGGCCAUUGCUUACCGUAAUAUACUAUCAAAACAAAUGUAGAUAUUAACACAAUCAUGAAAAAACACAAUAAAUUUUUUCAAUUAAUAAAAUUUGUGUUGAAAAUUUGUGUUAAUAUCUAUACAAUACAUAAAACGAGAGCGUCAGUGUAUUGUGAAUGCAUCAGUAUAUCGUGUAAAUACACAAUGUCAUUUUUUUAAAAUUUUUAAUCUACCCUUAAUAAUAAGGGUAAAUUUGUCCCAAUCUAUUAGGGGGGGAACCUCCCCACAAGUAGAGAGCUAUUUGGAUCAACCGUAAUUAUUUGUUGAGAUUAUCCACUUUUUCACACUAACUUUCAACUCCCUCCCACCUAAUCUGUAAUGUGCUGCUCAGCUUUCAUCAUCUUUCUAAACAAUUAUCUAUAUUAGUACAAAAGAAUUUGACCAAUAAGCAAAUAUUAUAAAGAGAUAAUUUUAAUAAAUAUAUUUUUUAUUAACUGCACACACAGAGCACUAGUCUAUAUUUGUUCUUAUAGAAUAAGAAUUCAUAUUAUUUGACUCCGAAGUCCUCGUUAACGAGGUAGGACCAACGAGGGAUUAAUAAGGUCAUAUUUGACUCCGAAUUCCUCAUAUUUUGCGUUCUUUUUCAUAAGUUUGGAAAAAAAAGAAGAAGAAGAAUUGCAAGUGCUGCAUUGGGUCGUGGUUUUCAACAAUAUUAUGCACUGUGUUAUGUUACGAGAAGUAUUCUUUAAUUUCAAACAAAAUGCUUUACAAUGUGCAAUUGUGUAAAAGAAGCCCUCUGAUUAUUUUUCUUUUACUUUUAUUAUAAGAUAUCACUUUUGUAAUCUAGAAAUAUGGUUACAGUUACUCUGAAGCAGACUAGUAGUAUUUCGAGAAAACUCCAAACAUUGGCACUAAGGUGAAUGCAGCGAAAGAUGAGAGGCUAAUAUGCACAAUUUCAAUCCCGGAUAUAAAAGAUGAAUUCACGUCCCUCCAUUUUAAAUUCACACUUAAUACAAAAUUUAUCUAUAUCUAUAUAAAUUUCAGAAACGAUUUUCAGCAAUAAGCCUCUACACAACUUCCCACUCUCAAUUUCAUUUUUCUAGUUAAUACUAAUGGUACGAGUCAUUGCUGCCUUAAGGGUGUAAAUUUAGACAGUAGGGACGUGAAUCUAGGGCUUUGUCUCAAUAUUUUAUUAUAGGACUAGUACACCAAUCCCUUUUAUUUUUUUUCAAAAAAAAAAUUGGUUUCUUUUACCAAGUUGUUACCAUCUCAAACUAGGUGAAAUCCAAAUUCUAAGUAAACCGUCUAGCAGAGAAGAUGCACUGGUUCUUUUGUCCAGGCUCCAAGAAGCAAUCCUGUGGAACUGCAGCCUGUCUUCUUUGUUGCACAAAUUGGAACCUCACAUGAUAAUUUUAUUCUUUAAUUUCUAUUAAAAAAAAAAAAAUGCUCCAUUUCCUUGAAGAUUUCAUGUAGACAGAGAAAUUCUUGGCAUGGAAAACUGUGGAUAGAUAAUGAAGGGUGAAUUAAAUCUGUUUCACAUUCAUGAUUCAACUUUAUUCGCUUCACAUUGCUGACCUGACAAUGUCUAAUAGAGUAAAAUAAUGCAACAAAAAAAAAAAAAAAAUGCCCAUCUUUCCUGAGUUACCAGGUAUGUGGGACAAAAGAAGGCCAGUUUAAAGGGGCCAAUUGCUUUAAAAAUGUUCCCUGGCUUUUUGCUGCAUAAAGAAAAGUAUUAUAGAAUGCCAAAAUGGAGGAGCAGCCUUGGUUUUAAAUUUCUUUCUAAGGUAUAUAUGCCAUAACAAAUUUGUCCUAAUUCCAAGUUGGAUGACUUAUUUGAAAUAAAUCUAAAUUUACGUAUGAAAGUAAGUUCUCAAUGCUUCUACUGCAAUACAAUCUGAUAAUAUAUGAAACUUGUGAUCUCAACACAAUCUAUAACAAGUGUGGUCUUCUUUUUUUUUUUUUUUUGAUAUGUAACAUAUAUGUCUUGUUAUCGAACAUUAUUUGCACAAUUGUAAAAAAUAUAUCAAUGUGUUUUUUUUUUUUUUUGUGCUAAGGAGAGCCAUUGGCUCAUUACAUGUUGAUAAAACGAGGGAAAGCCACUCCACACACGCCCUGGCCCAGGAGUUCUUUAACUGUCUGCAAUGGAUCCCCAAACAUUGUCAAGCCAUAGUCUAGACUUCUUUCCAAUUUAGCUAAGUGAUCCGCACACCUAUUCCCUUCCCUCCAGAUAUGUUCCAAUCUACAAUCUCAAUCUGUAAAGAAUAUAUCAAUAUGUUAGAAGUAGAAUAAUUGAUAGAACCAUCCCCCAAGUCCUUUUUUUUUUCGAAGACGGUAACUGUAAUAUAUUCUAAUCUAUCUUAUACUAAGGGGAGGGAGUGGACUUAAGGAGAUCCAAGAAUAACUCGGAGGGGACUGAACCACCACCGAAUCAAACGGGUGUACUACGCACUCGUCUGAAUUUUUUGAAGCAAAUUCACAUUUUAAUGUGAUAAUUAGUGGGAGGUAAAAUUUAAACCCUUGUCCCAAAACUUUUCUCCCACCCCGCCAAGCCUUAAAGGCUUAAUGGUGGCCACCAGCUGGUGGUUCCCAAGUCCUUUUCUACAUUUAUUAUGCAUCUGAGUUGGCAAUGGAAUAAUUGUGGUAAAGCCAUCCGCCAUCAAAGAAUCCGAAUUGCAAAAUUAUUGCCUUUUCCUGUCACAAAGAAAAAAUCUUUCUUGGAGGGGUCCUUACUUCUCACUGUCCCUUGUCUCUCCUGCUCAAGCCACAAACAUACAUCAUCUGAAGGUAAGUAACUAAUUCCAACCUCUAAUCUCAGUUUAAUUCAAUAAUGCCCAGAAGCUAAAUAUUGAUAACUAAAAGUUAAGUGCAGACUUUGGACUCUAGUUGAGAUGUAGUACUUCUGAGCUUUCUCAGUUUGUUAGUCCUAAUGCAGUGAUGCAUUUUCUUUGACCAUAUUUUCUUGCAGAAGACAAAGCAUAACAAGCUUCAAGAAAAAAAGAUGGCAUUUCUAAGAGUAGUGGGUAACUAUUUAACAUCUCUGAUCAUUCUGCCAUAUGUAUCAUUUAGCCCAAUUACUAAAGGUUUACAUACUGCUUUGUUUGAUGGCAGUUUUGUUAUGGGCUGAUAUGUUGGCAGCAUAUGUAAUGUGGAUAAUGCCAACAUACUUGACAAAUGUUUGGAAACUGGGAUUUACUCGUGCUGCUGGAAUCAUGAACGUAGCCAAUGGCCUCGCUAAAGUUUUACCCCUCGUCUUUUUCUUGAUUGUGGACUGUGGCCUUGGUAACUACUGGAUGCUGCUUCUCUCAAGCGUAUCCUAUGCAAUUGUAAGUUCUGCUGUCAAACACUUCUUUAGUUUGAUUUCACAGUGUGCAAAUUUAUAUUGUUAGGAGAUGGGACAAAACAGUUGUUUGAUUGUCUGAGACUCGAAUAACCAUGAUACUAGCCCCAUUUCCAGGUUCCAGCAUCAACUGUCAUCAUUUGAUGAAGCUAUUGAACAUCUGAUUUUACUAAACUAUUGGAGUUGCAAGAAAUGAGUAGCAGUUGUAAGCACAAACACGUUAAGUACCAAGUGGAAAAGGUCUAGAAUAUGCCAGGAUGAGGUUUCUCGUUAGUUGAAAGUUAAAACUCUUUGAUACAGAAAGAUGACAUUGAUAAUUCAGUAAAAUUGUUGCAAAAGAUUUUGUAUACUCCAUCUCGCUUGGGAAAUAUUUUGCUUCUCUCAGUUAACUAGAGAUAGUAAAGAUUCUGUAAAGAUGUGACUAUACAGGUCUAUGACCGUUUCUAAAUAGGUGAGGCUUAAAAGGAUCCAACUGCCUCUUUGACAAUUAACUUUUUGCUACUGAAUUCGUUGAUCGAAGUUCUAAAGUAAAGAAGACAAACUGAGCUAGUUGAUGACAAUUGACAAAUUAAUGAACUAGGUGGAAGGUAGCAAACACUAGAACAGGAUAUUAUGUCAAAGCAACAGGCGAUAAUUUGCAGACUUCUUGAUCUUACCACUAGAACCAAGUACUUGUUCAAAUGCUGUCCCAGAGCUCAACUAAAUUGGAUAGUUUCAUGUUAAAGGCUAAUGCACCUAGAGAACAUAUCAGCUGUAAAUAAAUUUCUAGUUGCAACCUAAGCAAAACACAGAGAUUUUUUGCUAUCUGGAUUUGAACUUUCUUUCAUCUAUAAUCAUGUGUAGGGUUUGGGAUUUUUGUCUAUGUCAACACCACCAGUUCUAGCCAAGGAAACUGGGAGCUGUAAACACUACAAGCCUGAAUGCAUUGGUCACACGCAAAAGGCCCUUUUCUAUACAGCUUUAGCAUUGAUUGCUGUUGGAAUAAGCGGACACAUUGUAUCACUAGUUGCACUCUUUGUUGAUCAGUUUGAAAAGAAGAAAGCUGAUGUUAAAUUUGAGAAACCAAGACAUCAGUCCAAGCCAUUUGUAUUGCAUCAGAUUAGAAGGAAACGAGGUGGAGCUACAAGUGAUGGACCAAAUUACCCAUUCCCACCACCAAAAGUCCCAAACAAUCCGAAUGCAAAGAAGCAGGGUGAUGAUGCUGAAGAUGAUAUGUUGUCACAGCUUCAAUUUCAACCAGUAGAAGCAAUGCUGGCUCUUGUGAACAGAGAAAAAGUAAAAGUAUUCCGAGCUUGUCUUGUGAUCCUCUUCCCUGUUAUUGGACUAAUUGCUCUUCCAUACAUAAGACCAUGGUCACUUCGGUUUGGAAUUCCAGCAAUUUGUACCUUGGUAGCAACAAUGGCAUUCUUGUUGGGCUCAUACAAUGACAACAAACCGAAAGGAAGUCCAGUAACAAAUGUACUCAGAGUUCUUGUGGCCUCUACUCUGAAAAUGUUUCACAAACUUCCAACUGACAGUUCCAAACUUUAUGAAAAAAACGAGCAUGAUGAUAAAAAAUUGAGUCAUACUGAAGGACUCAGGUUUGGCAUAUAUCCCCUCUUAAUAUGAUCUUCUUCAUACAAACUUUUUUCUGUUUGAGAAAUUUAUCCUUAUACAACUUCAAAAUUCAUACUUGCGAAAAAGUUUUUGACUAGAAACUCCAUCUCCAGUUGCAGGAAAUACUUCUACGACUUCUUUAAGUAAAUUAAUUGUCUACAAUUGAUCUUUUAUUGCAUAUGGAUAGAACAAACUAAUCUCAAGUUCUCCAGGUAAAGAGACCAUCAGAGCAUAGAGAUGAUGAAGCACUGAUUUGUAAAAUUUAUUGAUUGUUAUUCUCUUAGGUUCUUGGACAAGGCUGCCAUCAAAGAAGAACCAGUGACAAACAAGUGGAGAGUCUGCACAGUUACAGAAGUAGAAGAAACAAAAAUCAUUGUUAACAUGCUUCCAAUUUGGAUCACCUUCAUAAUUUGUGGUGUCGUAACUUCUAUAGGAAGCACCUACUUCGUGGAGCAAGGAAACCACAUGAAUUUCAAGGUUGGAAAAUUGAAGUUUCCUAAUUCCAUCCUUCUGGUCCUAUAUGAACUAACCAAGUCACGAUCCAAAACAAUGUACACCUUCAUUGCAAGCCACUUAGGAGCAGCAGGACUAAAGAGGUAUGCACCCCCAGUUGGCAUUGCAUUUGCUACACUAUUUUCAGUACUAUGCUGCAUAGUUGCUGCCUUAGUUGAAACUCGAAGGUUACAUGUGCUCAGAGAUCAUGGAUUACUUGACAAACCAGAUGAGAAAAUUCCCAUGACUGUGUUUUGGCUACUUCCACAAUACAUUCUUCUUGCUGUCCUUGACUCAUUUUAUGAAAACAGUGCUGCUCCUUUCUUGAGUGAUCAGAGUCCUCCGUCAAUGAAAAAGUACCUCGUCUACUUCAACCCUGGAUUAUCUGGGCUGGGAAUCACGGGAAGUGUUUUAUCAGUAUUCUUAGUUGGUAGAAUUAGUGAACGAAGAGGAAAAGAGAAUUGGUUUCAAUAUACCUUAAACAAGAGUCGCUUGGAUCGCUAUUACUGGGUCCUUGCUGUCCUAAGUGCUGCAAAUUUCUUCUGGUUUCUUGUGGCAGCAUUAAGGUACCCUUACAGGGAACCUACUUCAAAUGAUAAGCAAGAGAAUGGAAACGAAGAAGGUAAUGCCAUGGAAGCUGUAGAAGGUGUUAUUCCUAAUAUAGAGUAAAUUGAACACACUCGCGGGCAAGAAAGAGUUACAUAUAGAGAGGAUUAAGUUUCCACCGGUGCUUGAGAAUUCUUCUAUGUUGUCAUUAAACUAGUUAAUUAUAAUACAUUUGUGUAAAAAAUAUGCAAUCUUGGAAUUUAAAUGAGUUAACUUGUUUCCUUAUAGGAGAGUCAUCUGAUCAUUUCCCCGUAGAGUGUUGUCCUGUUAAUCUUGUAAAAUGGGAAUCACCAAGACAAUGAAGUUUUUUUUUUACAUGAGCUUCAUUUCUAGCCUCCACGAAGACCUUCUACAUGAUAGAGUAAUUAAUCUAGCUUUUAAAAGAAUCACAGUCUACUAGUUUACGUACAAUAAAUACCUGAUCUUUCACAAUCACGUACCACUUGACAGAUGCAGAAGCAUUCACAUAUGAUCAAACAUGCUUACUAGUCAUUAUUCAACAAAAUCUAUAGAUGUUAAAAUGACUGAAAUGUGAAUGCGGGGUCAGAUAAUUCUUUGUUUGUACUUGUAAAUAUUGGAAACACGGUUACAUACUUAUAAUUAGAGGAAGAAAGCAUGGAAAAUUCCACAUGCAUAGGCACAGGGAUAAUGUAGAUGUGGAGUCAGCAGUUUUUUCUUCGCAUGUAUCAUUAAUUGGCUGGAACUGGAAGGGAUUCGCUCAAUAAUCUCAAGAUAAUACGCCAUAGAUGCCAUCCGUCACGUAUUGCAACAUUACAAUUUUUUAAGAAUAGUGAAUGGUCUUCCUUCCACAUAAACAAUUUAUUGUCUAUCAUCUACUGCGGUUGGAUCCCUCGUAAUGCUGACCAGACAAAGCACUAGUCCACAACAAAAUAAAGAAAUGAAAAAAUAAUUGCUACCCCCAAAAAAAAAAAAUGAAAAAGAGAAAUGCAAAAUAAUAGGACGUCAUUAGAAUUAUGUGCUUGUUUCUUCUUUGUCUUGAUCAAAACGUCAUCAAAAUCCAAGAAUAAGGAAAGAAAAGAAAAAAAGCAGAUUACUUGGCCAAAAAGAUGGAAGAGUGGAAACCUGAUUCCUUGCUUGAAAGACCGGGGGAGAUCACUUCACACGGGCAAUAUUCUGGUUGGGCUGAAGAAAGUAUUGUACAAUGACUAGGCUACUGGCAGGAGGGAAACUGUAAUGGAAGUUACCGAAUAAAAAUGUUGUUUAUAGAGAAUGAAGAUUAAAUUGUAUUUUGGGUCAAUCCGAUUGAAUUAUGAAUAUUAAGCUUGCAUGACUAUUUGAGAUUGGUACUUCAAGUCUUCAACAGAAAUUUCCGAAUAGCUAAAUGGGAUUCUAUCUCAGAUGGCAACAUCUACGGUUCUACACGGAUGGUAACGCGGUUGCUGCUGGUACGAUGGCUUUCUUUAUUAUUUUUUUUUUUUUAAAAAAAAAAGGCUUCUUUAUCUUUAGGGAUAAUUUUAGAAUCCUUCCCUCAUGUUUCUAACAAUUUCACUAAGCUCCCUUGAGGUUCCAAAAAUUACACAUACCUCUCUUGUUAUUUAUAAUGACAAUUUUACCCUUAAAUAUUUUGGUGAAAUUCCCUUAUUUGAUAUGCUUAUACUUAGAAUGAGUUUUGAAAUUAUUUUUUCAUUUUUUUUCCUUCUUAUUCUUUUUUUUUUUUUGUUUUUCUCCAAUAAAACUAUAAAACUAUCACUAUUGCUUCUAGUUUCUAUUGUAACCAAAUGUCGAACUAGUAAUUUUUUUGAUGAGUUAAUUUUAUAUGCAAUCCAAUAUUUUUCCUUAUCUUUAUUUUCUAUUUUUUGGUACUAAAAUUAACAAUAAAUCAAAAAGAUAUGACCCAAAAUCACUACUAAAUUAUGAUAAUCCCACUAUUCGAAAAAUUCAUAAAUUCUAUAUGAAUUAUUUCAACAUUUUCUUUUCUAUCUUAUAAACCUAAAUCUAUAAUAAAGUAUUAUCAAAAGUAUCAUAUCAUAGUGAUAAAAUUUUUAUUAUAAUUAUUUAUCGAAUAAUAGGUAUGGACAUGAAAAAUUUGACAAUUUUUUCUUAUAAUUAUACUAGAUAAUCUUAUAAAUGUAUAGGAAAAUAAAUUAAAACUCAUUAUAUAAGGACAUUUUUGGGUAUUCAUUUAAAAAAUUGACCAAGUCAAUAUUAUUUAAGGUUUUGUUACUAAAACUAUUAAAUUAAGGGAUGUAAGUGUAAUUUUCCAAACCUCAAGGGAAUCCAGUGAGAUUGUCAGAAAAUUUAGGGGAGGUUUCUCAAAUUAUCCCUUAUCUUUAACGUGGGGAAGACUCGGAAGAGGCGAAAGAAGUAUCAACCGGUAAAGUACAAUAUGCUUUUUUCCUGUUACAAAAAAAAAAUACAUUUGCAAGUAUGCAACGUUAUUUAUUUAGCCGUCCAUAGUGAAUACAACCAUACUGAAUCGUGGAGAGUAAAAAACUGUUUUCUAAGCAUCUUCGUCCCGGCUGUUAACUCUUUUAUCUUCUUGCUUUAUCCUGCUACAUUUGCAUUUGCUGUCUGCCACUUGCUUUAAGUUCAUAAUUUCUCCAUCUCUGUCCCCAGAACAGGAAAAGCAGUGGUGGUAGUAGUAGUAGCUGUAGCAUAAUUUGUACCUACCAUUUUCGUUGCUGUGUAGCUGAGUCAAGUCAACUCCACCUGCUAUCUGCCAAGUCUUCUCUGGAAUCUUGAUAUCAGUUCAGUUCAAUUCAAUCCUGAUCCUCGACUCAGUUAGUCCUAGUAGCUUCCUAGGAGAGAAACAGAUCUGAGUUAGAGAUGUCUGUUCCAGAUGCUGCAGUGACUUUUCUGCUAGACAACCUUCACCAGGUACUGAGUUACAACUAUCAUUUGAUCGCCGAUGUACGAGAUAACAUUCUGAUUCUUUGCCAAGAACUCGAGACUCUGAAAGCUCUGAUGAGAGAUUACUCGAGAUACAAUCACGACAGCGAUUUUCUCAAGGAAUUGGUGAAGGAAAUAAAAACCGUAGUCAACCAAGCUGAAGAUGCUGUGGACACUUAUAUCGUUCAAGCCUCGGUUCAAAGAGCAAGAUCCUGGAUAUCUAAAACUUUUCACAUAAUUGAUUAUCCCACCAAGCUUCGGGAAGUGGGGAAACAGAUUGAAGAAGUUGGCAAGAAAGUGAGGGAGAUUAAUCAAGAAAAGGCCAGGAAUGGCUUUGAGGCCCUGCAGUAUCAAGCCAUGGCCAAUCUUAACAGGAUUCCAAAGCCUAAAGAGGUAAAAAUAGACAAGCCAAACUCCUGCUUUCCAUCUUUUGUUUAGAAAAUACUUUUCUAUCUGUCUGCUUAUUUGUUUGUACAUUUUGUGGAUGGUGCUGAAACAUUACUAAAGUUCGACAUUUUUAAUCAACUCAGGAAAUCUUGUCAAUUUAAUCCCUAAUUGUUUGUUGCAUAUGAAUUAUAUCCAUUUAGUCUUUAAUUAAUAUCAACAUUCGGGUAUGCAAGUUAUGUACCAAAUGACGCUAGUAAGGAAUAUUGAGCCAUCUCAAUUAGGACAUAUGUACCAGUAAUUAAUUCCCUUGUUGCUAUGAAUCAAAUAUGGCUUUAGGAGUCGAUUCUGUUUUCGGAUCAACAUAUUUAUGUCUCUGAUUUUAGUCAUUUCUUUCAAACUAUCUUAUGCAUAUUCUUACCUUGUAUACUGCAACCAGGCACCAAAAGUAGAGGAAGAGCAUGUGGUUGGUUUUGAGGAGGCAACGGAAAAAGUAAGCAAACUUCUCACCGGUGGAUCACAACAUCUUGAAGUAAUCUCAAUUGUUGGUAUGCUUGGACUGGGCAAGACAACGUUAGCUAAAAAGGUUGUUAAGGAUCCAAUUGUUGAUUAUGAAUUUAUGAUCAAGGCAUUUGUUUACGUUUCAAAAGAAUACGAGAAAAGGGAAGUGUUCCUCAGUAUUUUAAGAUCUUUUACACAAAUCAACGAUGAGGUGAAUAAGAUGGUAGAAGAUCAAUUAGAAGAAUAUCUCCGCAAGCAGUUGGAGGGAAAGCAGUAUUUAGUUGUGAUGGAUGAUGUCUGGGAGAAAGAGGAUUGGGAUAGACUCAAAAAAGCUUUUCCAAGCAAUAACAAGCGGUGCAGAGUUCUAAUAACUACUCGCUAUGAGAGAGUUGCUGAACAUGCAAGUCGGGGUAUCCCUUUCCAUAAGUUGGACUUUUUACCUCUAGAAAAGAGUCGGGAGCUACUUCGCUGGAAGGUCUUUGAUGAUGACAAGUGCCCAAAGGAGCUGCAGGAGUAUGAGAUAGAAAUAGCAAAUAAAUGUGAUGGAUUACCACUUGCAGUGGUUGUCAUUGCAGGUAUUCUUUGGAACAACAAAGAGAGAAUUGAUUGGUGGAAACAUGUGGCAGAUAGUGUCAAGGAUUACAUUGCAAGGGAUCAAGAGCAAACCACUAAGGUAAUAGAACUAAUGUACAAGCACUUACCAAAUCACUUGAAGCCAUGUUUCAUUUACCUUGGUGUCUUCCGGGAAGACUUUGAGAUCCCUGUUUGGAAGUUGUUGCGACUUUGGAUUGCUGAAGGACUCAUACUACAGGAAGGUGAUAUCAACUUGGAAGACAUAGCAGAGCAACACUUGGAGGAACUUGUUGCGAGAAACUUAGUGAUGGUUGGACAAAGAAGGUCAAAUGACCGAAUUAAAACUUGUCGCAUCCAUGACACUUUGCGUGAGUUUUGCAAGAAUGAAGCUACAGAAGAAAAUUUCUUCCAAGAAAUAAAAAAGGAUAAACUUGCGUUCUUUUUAUCUGAACACCCAGCUUUGGAUCAAUAUCGUCGGCUUUGCAUCAAUCAUGUCAAUGUUUUGGACUACAUUUCACGGCCCACACCUUCUGGUAAGUGUGUCCGGUCUUUCUUGACUUUUGCCAAAGAAGAAACUACUGUGGAACCAAAACAUGUCUCUGCAAUUCCCAAAACCUUUAAGUUGCUUAGAGUGUUGGAGGUUCAAUCUCUCACCUUCACCCGUUUUCCUCCUGAUCUAUGCCAUUUGGUUCUUUUAAAGUAUGUUGCUUUUUCUUCUAACAUCUCAGUCCUCCCUCCGGCAAUGUCUACCAUGUGUAACAUGCAAACUCUUAUAGUCAAUACAACAUCACGCACCCUUGAAAUCAAAGCAGAUAUAUGGAAGAUGCCACAGUUAAGGCAUUUGCAUACAAAUGCGUCUACUCUUUUGCCCUGUCCAGAUAACAAAAACCAAAGGAGCAAGGAAGAGGCUUUAAUAGGUGAAAAUCUGCUGACUUUGCAUACUGUUUCACCAGAAAGUUGCAAAGAAGAAGUGUUUGAAAGGACUACCAGACUCAAGAAAUUGGGAAUACGCGGAAAAUUAGCCAAGCUUUUUGAGAUCAAUGGUGAAUCUAGUUUGUUUGGCUAUCUUCGAAAGUUGGAUUCGCUUGAAAAUUUGAAGUUAUUGAAUGAGGAUAUAUCCUCCAGGUUAUUCGGUCUUCCUUCACAUAAAAGUUUUCCCAGAGAGUUGACAAAAUUGACUUUGUUAAAUACGCUGUUGGAUUGGAGUGAGAUGUCCACAUUAGGGAAGCUGGAAAAUCUCGAGGUUCUUAAGUUGAAAGACAAUGCAUUCAAAGGAAGGUUGUGGCAAACAGAAAAGGGUGGCUUUCUUCGUCUCAAAUUUUUGCACAUUGGACGCACAGAUUUGGUGGUAUGGGAAGCUUCAGUGGAUCAAUUUCCAAAGCUUAAAAGCCUUGUACUCAGAAAUUGUGAUAAACUCAGAGCCUUCCCACAUGACCUGGCAGAUAUUCCUAGCCUCCAGAUGGUGGUCCUUCACUGCACAAAUCCUUCGGUGGCUUCUUCUGCCAGGAAACUUCAGGUGCUGAAGCUAGAGCAAGCUCAAAGGGGCAACAAAACUAGUGGCUUCAAGCUCUCCGUAUAUCCUCCAGAACAUUGAGUGCCAAAUGCAUCUGAGUUGUCCGUGCCUUCUCAGGUUGGUAGAAUAACUCAGGAUCCACUCUUCUUUGGUGAUUUGUUCUUUCAUGCUUUUUCUGGUCAUUAGUGGAAUUGUAAGGUUUUAUGGCUGAAAUUCUUUCAAGACUGCAGCUGCUAACAUUGAGAUUACUCUUCAUUUCCACGGAAAAAAACUGGCAUUUCUCUACAAGCAGUAACAUUCAUUUUCAUCAGAACUACCCAAUAGAGCUGACUUCACCUGGCCUCUUUUUUUUUUCAGAUUAUUAAUUCAGGAUAAAAUGGCCACUGAUCUUCUGGUCUAAAGCGAAAGACUGUGAAGCACGACGUCUUCAAAUUUAGUUUGGGUGUGCUUUUGAUUUGUAAGAAAUUUGGAUGUGGGCUUUAAACCUUAAUGUUAAUUUCAUGUAGAGUUUACUCCUGAGGAGGAGGAAUUUCAACAUUCACUUCCCCAACUUCUUAGCAUAAUCUGUCUCGUACAUGGGCAAGAAACAUUUGGUUCCUUUCUCGCCAAACUCCUAUUUCCAAUUUAACUUAAAACGGAAUCAAAAUUGUCAAUAUGACUAUUAUAUAUUUCAAUGAUGAAUGGUUAAACUCCUUAAUCUGAAAUUUUAUCGUGUAAAGUUACAUGCAUAAACAUUUGCUGAGUUCUCACCUAUGGAAGCUUUCAGUAACAAUAUGAUGGAAUGCAAAUUUGUUAUGCUGAAGAGUAGUAUUACGGCGUCACACUAAUGAGAAUUCAGUGAAAACAUUUCAGUACCAUCGAGUUACAAAGAACUAUGUAUGGCAAUAUCUAUAGCUCAGUUCAUAAGAUUUAAAUUGCUCCUCAUUUCUCAGUUCAUGAUUCUAAGUUAAAAGUCCACUGAUAUCUUGAAAGAACUCCCAGCCCUCCAGUCUGAUCUAACUUCUAUCGAAGCCAUGGCCACACUUGGCAUUUCAAUGGUGAUUUGUUGAACUCAAGGACAAAAUGGGUCGCAAGCAAAAUGUGACACCUGAAGGGACCAACUACAUGAUUAAAUCAAAAUGGUUUAAUAUUUCAUUUGAUCAUUAGGAAGGGGUGGAACAGAAGAUCUGUUAUGUCUAUCGAGGGAGCUUUGAGCGCUUAACAGAAGAUCCGUUAUGUCUAUUGAGGGAGCUUUGAGCGCUUAACUCCGAUAGUCUGCCCCAUAUUCUACUAAUAGCAAGUACCAAGGGUUUGGUUGCAUUUGCCAUUUGUAUCUUUUUUGGACUAAUUGGAGGGGGAUGUUGCUUCACCCGGUCAAUUAUGACUUUCAAGGGCCUCAGCAAUUGGACAGAGGUUAUUAUGGGAUGCAAUUUCAGGUCCAAAUAGGAAGUUAUGCAUUAACCCUGUACAUAAUCUUUUUGGAAAUGGACAAUGGUGGUGGUCGGGUCGGCUAUCUUAGGAGAUGAAAAUGUUUACAUUUCUAUAUGAAUGCCUCAAAUAUUAUAGCCUGUAAUUAUACGGGCCUCUUCCAGAGAACCUCAUAUUCUUCAUUUUUUUUUUUUUUGAAGCACAAAUUCUUCAAUUUAUACUUUGGCAAACUCCCAUUAUUAAAAUUUUUUAUGCUCCUUAGUUGAGUCCGUCUCCAUUCUAAAAUACGACAAAGGUUCAAAGGUUUCGGGUUUGUUUGGAUAGCAAAUUAUUCUAAAUAAUAUUUCACUUGCAUCAUAAACAUAUUUUCCAACCCACCUUUUUAUAUUACCAAUCACUUUUUUAUCUCACAUACAUCACAUCACAAAAAAUAUUACAAUAAUUUUUUUAAAUAAUAUUUCAAAUAAUACUCUAUACUUGGUACAUAGAAUGCUACUCAGGAAGGCCAGAUGAAGUAAUUAUACUAUCAUAUGAUGGUCCUUGCUUCUUAAUGUAAAUAAUAUGUGAGUAUGAAUACAUAGAUUAUAAGAUUUCAAAAAUUAGACAUUCUUUCCUCUUCUCUUUUGUUUCUUAAUAUCGUCCUCUCAUACUUUAAGAAGAAAUGUGAAAUAUUAUUAUUAUUAUAAAUGUACAUGCUCAAAAUUUUAACUUACGAUCUAUGUUGUUGUAUUUAUUGAAUUGGUUUUACUAUAAUGAAAAAAUUGUGGGCAGUGCUUCGUCAAGGUAUCUCAUUAGCCUGCAUUUACUGAUGAAAAGUCCCAAGGUACGUAGUCUUGGCUCUUGCAAGGGAGAAAACAGAAGUAGUACUACAUAAGAUAUCGGGAGUCGGGACAAUUAUUGACAGAGAGGCAGUGUUUUUAAACUCGGACCGGACCGCCGAUCCGAUCGGUUCAACCGGAAACCGGUCAAGUGUCCGGUCCGAGCUGCUCUAAAAACUCGGAUGACAGAAACUCGAUCAAGCCCGAGUCAAAACCGGGUUUGACCGGAAACCGGUAAAACCGAUGAGAACCCGGUUUUUUUAUUUGCCCUUUUUGUUGCCUUUUUUUUUUUCCUUUGCCUAUCUAAAUUCCUCCUGAUCUCUCACCUCUCUAAAACCCAUUUUCACCUCCUCAGCUCCUUCAAUUUAGCCACCACAAUCAGUGCUUGAUAUCGUUUUCUAAAUAAGAUUUAAUCUUAGAUAUGGGGAAAAUACCAACAAAAAAAAAAAAGAGAGAUGAAGAAAAGAGCAGAUUGAAGAAAAAAGAUAAAAGUUUGAUUAUUUGUUAGUUUUGAAAAUAAAUACCUAAGGAUAUAAGAAUGGAAAUCCUGAAAAGAAAUAAGAAAUAAGAAUGGAAAUAAAAACUCAAAAAAAAAAACGAAAAGCAGAAAGAAUGGACAAGACUAGCUUGUCCACUUUGUUCUUGAAGUUGUAGUUAGAACCCAGAGCAGACAAGACUUCAAUGUCUAUUGUAAAGCUUACUCUUGCACUGAAUCCAUAUCAAGAGAACUAAAAAAUCAAAAGCAUUGUCAAAAAUUCGCUGGAAAAACUUAAAGAUUGCUCAACCUCUUCGAAUUCGUCCAUCUCAAAACACAGGGGAAAUGUUUCUCAAAACAUUCGGAGUGGCUGCCUAAGAGCUUUUGCCACCGAUGGGCUUGAGACUUGAGAGCUUAUGCGGCCUUCUAUGUUCUAUCCUUCUUUGGAUUUUUUUUUUUUAAAAAAAAAGAAAAAGGAAGAGUGGAAUGAACGGAGAACAGGAACAAGAAAAGGUUGCAUUAGUUUAGAAAAGCCUUUGUCGGCGGUUAGAGGUAAAGGAGGAAGGAAUUGGGGGAAUAUUAAUGUAGGGUUCAAAAAGCUUUUUCAAUAUUGUAUUCUAACCCCUUGGAUAUUGAAAAACUAUUAACAUACCUAGAAAUGUUUCAUAGUCUAUAAAUAUUCUCCACAAAUUUAACUUUGAACUUGUAAAUAUGCAUUAAAUUAUAUGAAUUACUAUUUGAUUGUUCUAAUUUCUUUGCACUUUCUUGUUAAACAGCUUUGAAACAUCAAACACAUAUGUAUACACCUUUAUUGAUAUUAGCAUGCUUUUAGAUAUUUUACAUAAUAUUUUAAUUUCAAAAUAAUUUUUAUUAAUAACAUUGAAGUUAUGACAAAUCUAAACUUAUGAAGUUGUAAACCACCAAUUUAAAGAUAAAUUUUAUAUCUUAUUUUGAUUAAAAAUUAUUAAUAAAUAUUUAUGACAUAUUUAUGAUGUCAUUUAAUUUGACUCCGGUCGAACCCAUUGACCCCUGACCCCUGAGCUCAGCCGAGUCAAUACCCGGUCCGAGUCUGAAAACAUAGCAGAGAGGAUAGAAUUUACCAUGGUCCUUGACGGGCCAAAGAACAAACCAAAAAUCUGGAAGAGGGGGGGGGGUGGUAAAAUAUGCAAAACAGAGAAAAGAAAAUCCACAGGAACGAAACUGUUAAAAAUUGGGGCGAUCCAUGUGAAGUUUGAAUUCUUGUUUAUGUAGCCCCAUCAUUUCCUCACGUGACGACCAUCAGAUGGAAGAAGAGAAAUUCACUGGAUGGAUGGAUCGUGACAUGGGUGUGUUUGGAUUGAAAUAUUUGGAGAUAAAAUAAUUUAUUUCAUAAAUUUCAAUCAUCUUUUUAUCCCACAUACAUUACAUCAUAAAAAGUGUUACAAUAAUUAUCUCAAUAAAUCAUCCAAAUAAACUCCUAGCAUGAAUUUGCAGUAUGAUAGAAAACAAAAUUACUGGUCAACAAGCCCACCAUUAUUCAUAAGUGUGAAAUGGAUCCUUUUUUUUAAGGUAAACCAAAACGUUUGGAUUGCUAUUUUUAAAAAUUUUUAUAAUAAAAUAUAUUUUAAUAAUUUGAUAUAUAUAUAUGUAAGAUAAAAAAAUAAUUUAAAAAUAUGUUAAAAAAAUAUAAAAAAAAUUUCAAGAAAAAAGACUUUUCAAACAAGGUUCAAAUCAUAGAGGUGACAACUUUAAUCGGAAGGAAAAUCAUCCCACCGGACAGGACAGUCCUACGUUCCAGACCAAGUGUGGAAUGAAUUCUGCUGCUUGCUGCCAAACGUAAUAGAUUGGCUUUACUUUUCUCUAUUUGCCACUUGCAAUUAUUCCAUUUUGUUUAGACCCUCAAGAAAGCUAUCUGCGAAUCCUGCUUGCUGCCACAUGUAAUAGAUAAGCUUUACUUUUCUCUAUUUGCCACUUGCAUUAUUCAAUUCUGUUUAGGCCCUCAAGAAAGUUUUCUUUUUUUGGUGCUUUAUGCUCAUCAGAGGAUGUGUUCUCCACUUAUAUAAUUCUCAUUAGUUUUUUCCUUCCAAAAAGAAAAGAAAUUGUCUUAUUCAUUGUCAACUACUUGCUUUUCUACACUUAAUUUUUUUUUUCUUCUGUAUUCAUUCAAUACAGAAUGGGUUUCCAAAUUUAAUUCUGAUAAGGUUUUUUUUUUGCAUCAAUCCAUUUCAUCUUGUCCAUUGUCAAACGGUAGCUGAAUUAGCUCAAAAUUAAUAUGAUAGCAGUCUCUGCAUUAGUGUUUAAACAUUCAAUUGAAAGAAGCAAUUCAUAAAAUGCAUUCCAUUUAAGCGAAUGUACUUUUUGAGAAAAUAUAUAUUGAUAAUUUAAGCAAGUGUCAUGAAGCAUUUCCUGUUAGAUUUUUUCCACCCAAGAAUUGCAAUACAAAGUAUAAACCAGAAUGAAACAACCAACGUGUGCUUCAUUUCUGAUUUGCCCCCCGGGGGGAGAAGGCUGGGGGCGCAAGAAUUAGUACCAGUUCACAUUCACUGUUAAAUCAUACAUGUUAGUGAUCGUUCACAUUAGCUACUCAUUGGAUUUUGCUCUUCCUAAGCCAGCCACAUUGGAUUUCUUUUUCACUCUUUCAAGUGUGAUAAAACCCGGCCAGUCAACAAAACCUGAUGGAACGUGGUUAAAAUAACUAGGAUUAAAGGUUGGGUUUUCUUAUCAUUUUGGUAAAGAUGUUCCAUUGAUUUUUCCCAGGCUUAAGCGCGAACAAUAUGAUCAAUUGUUCUUUUUAUCGUUGUUAUGUUGCCAUUCUUUUAUCAAGUCUAAUGAAAGUCUGAAAAGGAGGAUGAUAGAUGAGAAAUCGAUCACCAAACCUGUGGAACUCCCUGUCCAGUAAUAUUUGUUUAAGCAGAAAAGCCUAACAAUGGUGUCUUAUGGCACGCAACCUGGAAACUUCCAAUCAGUAACGGGGAAGGCCACAUUGUCAGGCCAAAGUUUAGUCCUCUCCGGAGAAGGAGCCAGCAUAAUUGUGAUUUUGGUGCGGUCAACAAAAAGGAACUUAAACCCCCCUUUGGAUUAUACGUCGGGAGUUCAAAUCUCACCUGCAAUAAAAAAAUUUAAAUAUGAUAUCAAAACAUCUCUUUUGAUUUAGUCAGGUCUGUAUACCUAUUAGUUCCUCACACAACUUUUUUAGCCUUCCCUCCUUAUAGAAUAAGAUAGAUUGCAUUAUACAAAUGUUAUCGUUACCGAAAAAAAUUUGUGAUUUUGGUACAAUUGUGCGGUCGGUUGCUGUAUAUUUUAUAUAAUUUAAUAUAUAUACUUAUAUUGCUUUGUUGUAAACAUAAUAAUUUUUGUUCUUAUAUAUCAAUUUAAUAAUUUAAUAUAACUACCUUCUGAAAAAAAUUACAAAAGCUGUACCAAUUGUACUGGCUCCUUCUAUGACCAACUACGUGCUUUGCUUUUAAUUUUCUCUCUCUCUUUUUUUUUUUUUAAAUACUCAUUGGACAAUCGAUUUGCCAAUUUAUUUCUGCCAAGGUUCUUUACCAUUCUAUUUCAUCUUGAUUCAUUGUCAAGGAAGGAAGAUGAAGUAUUAUGAAUAUGAUAGCAUUUUGAGCGAUUAAACAUUAACGUGUACAAUCUAGACUAGAAACUACCACCAUGCGCUCCAUUUCCGUGAAGACCGAGAUGCAAUAAUUAAAUACUAAUUAGACUUCAAACGGCCGUUUACAGUAAUGAUAGUGAUCCUUCACGCUGCUCACAUAAUGAAUGAUAAUGGCCUUGUUUGCAAAUAAGUUUUUUGCUAAGUUUAUUAGUUACAAGUUUUUUAAAAACUUUAAUUACAAUAAUCUCAAACAACUUCUCAAAAAUUUUAAAUUAUACAUUUUAAAAUAUUUCAAAAAAAUACAAUUUAAAAAUUUUUUUAAAAAUUUUUACAGUAAAUUACAGUAAAAUUUUAAAUAAAUACUUAAAAAAAUUCACUUGACAAAUAGGGCCGAUGAUUUAUAAUUAUUCUAAUUGACCAAGAUACAAAAUUGCUAGGUAGGCAUCAUCAUGAUACGUGAACAAGAAUAUAAACAAAGUGUAAUUAUUCGAAUCCAACAACUUUUGUUUUUUAGCAUUUAGUGUUAAAAUCCGGAACAUGAACAAGAGUCAAAUAAAAAUGGUGCCAAUAAGAAAAAUUUUAAAGAUUUGAGAUGACUUCCGGGUCGGCGUAUAGUAAUAAAUUGAAAAAGGUGGUGUGGCUAUUAGCUUUUCUGAACCGUCAUGGACGGUCAUGUUUGGCCUUUACCCAUAGAUCGUAACGACACCCUUAUAAAUUGGUUAGUGUCGAGGGCCUACGUUUCUAUUUAAUAAUUCAAUUCAAUACUUAAAUUUAAUAGAUUCAUCUUUUAACAUAUUCAGACACUUUUGAUAAUCAAAUAUAGAACAUGUAAUUUUAUUAAAUAGCAUUGAAUUUUUUGGACAAAAUUUGUGUCAAAAAAUAAGUUAUAAACUAUUCACGUAUCACUUAAUGCGAUAUACACUUGAAUGUGUCAUAUUAAUACUUAAUAAUUUAAUAAAAAUUUUAAUUUUCAAAUUUCAAUUUUAUCAAAUUAUCGUAAGACUUGGCCAAUCAACAAAUCAAGGUUCAAAGUGCAAUGGAACAAUCCAAGGGCUGGUGAUGGAGCAACACAUUGAUCGGAGAGGGUAGAGAAUUGUCCCCCUCAACUUUGAAAAACCAGAUAUUAGGCUAGUAUAUAUGCUUUCAAAUAUAAUCCAUUUAAAAGAGGAAAAUCUAAUCCAUUUGUCUUGGAUUUGCAGCCCCUAAAAUUCUUGUAGAAUUUCCGUCUACUACCGAAUAGCCCCUUAAGAAGCCAAAUAUUUUUCCAAUAUCAUAUUUGAAAAGUAAAUGAUACCACUUAUAUAAGAAUGAAUGUAUAAACUUAUAACUAAACUCAAUUUCUUUUUACAUAUAUAAUAAGCAAAGCUUAAGUUAUAUGUAAUUGACCCAAUGCUAUGCAUUCCUUAACCACAGUUCCUAUGUGUGUAUAUGUAUACGUACGUAUAUGUGUGUGUGUAAUAUAGGAAUACAAAAAAUUUCUUUGUUUAUGCUUUUAUGAUCAACAAGUAGCUUAAUGGUUACCAGCUGUAGAAUUAAUACUAGAAAAUGAGUUGCUGGGGCCACUUGAAGUCAAGUCAACUAUGUGUCUGUACAUGUUGAUCAAUGAAGUUCAAUGUACUGGUAGUCUUUUUUUACAGUUCUCACAAAACUAUGUACGAGUCGACCUUGCACAGCUAGAGCCUCUCAUCUCAUGAUCUAAUCCAAGUUGGUUGAUUUCUAGCUUUCAAGAAACAAAUCAAGAUCGGCGGUGAGAGAUAUGGAACAGGCUAUACAGGUUUCAGUAGGAUUUGCCUUGCAAAAUCUGCUGCAAUUGAUCGAUGAGAAUCGCAGAUUGAUAAGCGAUAACUAUGAGAAAAUCACCGAUCUCCAGGCAGACGUCCGGCUCUUGAAGGUUUUCAUGGCCGAGUACACUGCAAACUACCGCAACUCAAAGCCCCUGACGGAGCUGGCGGACGAGAUCAGGAGCCGGGUUUUCGAGGUCGAAGAUCUGAUGGAAACAUACAUCGCGGAGGAGAUGCAUUACCAAGGCAAGAAUAUCUUCAAGAAAGCAGUACGCGCCAGAGAACACCUAAGUAACCUCAGGAUCUUAGGUGAAACGGUGCAAAAGCUGAGUGCAAAGGUGAAGAAGACCAACGAGGACAACAAGGAGAUUGGCCUCCACCUCGUGGCAUUAGAAGAGUUGUCAAGAGAGUCAUCAAGACGUAGUUCAAUGUCUGAAGAAAAUCAGGUAACUAAUAGUACCUAAAAUUUGUUUACUGUUACAAGUUAAUUUGUAAUUGCAUGAUUGCAUCUGCCCACUUCAUUUGGACAAGUUCAUGGUUGGAUGGAAUGUUUUAGUUCUUCCAUUGCAAUUUCUUACCAUUUAUACAUAUACAUACACGCUGCGGACAAACCAAAUUCUUGAUGCAUGAUAUUCCUCAGCACUUAAGCUCAGUUGCCAGUAAGUUCUAAAUAGUGAUUAUGUUAAUGGGUUGUUGGUCUACAUAAUUUAUAACGUAUGUAAUGAGUAUGCCUAUGAGGCAAAUCAUCAAUAAACACUGAAUUAUACCUUUUUUUUCGUUUGAAAGAAGAACACGUUUGCAUUUGCACUGAACAGGAAAGUUUGAUGCUAGAAUAAAUAAAUCAAAUGCAUAUGAAAUAUUUUUCUUACUGUUUGUCUGAUUAUAUGGCUCUCCAUUUUCUAGAUUAUUUGCAAAAUAGUACUCUGUAAUAAGUUUAAAGAAAACUAAAAUUUCUAUAAAUUUUCUGUGGUCCAAUAUAACUAUAGUUUUUGAUUAUAUAUAUUACUAUUUGUCAGGCAGAUGGUCAUUUCAACGGUUUACAUAAAUAGGAAAAUAUCUUCUUUCUUGUACUGUAAGUGGGAGGGCUCAAACCCAAGACAUUUCACUUAGACUCCCUCCCCGAAUCACCCAACCCUCCUCCAAAUAUCACUGUGAGGAGCAUAUAAAAUGAAAAUCUAAAUUAAAAGAAUGAAAUAUUCCAACUAAGAGAAAAGAUGCUAUUAUGUUACGUAUGAGCAAUUCCUUUGCGCAUUAACACACUAAGCAAAAAGAUUAUAAUUAGUAUUGAGAAAAAAUGAUAGAUAUGUCAUCAAUGAAAAUAAACUACUAAGAAAGAAAAAGAAAAAAAAAGAGAUUCACUCAACAAGCAACAAAAGCCAGAAAAGAAAAGGAAAGCAAAAGCAAUACAUAAAUAUUAUACAUUACCAAUGUUGUAUUCUGUCAACACAUCCAUUUGUAUAGGAUGUAUCUUUCUCCAUUGAUAGUAUAUACAAUAGUGGGUCUGGAUGCAUGACAACUAAUCAUGAAUUGACUUCGAAUUUCAAAUUUGAUAUAUAUGGCAUGCAUCCAAUCUUCCUUAUGUAGUAGUUUAUUCAAUAGGUUUUUAAAUAUAAUUUUAUAUAUUAAUUCUUUUGAUAUAUUUAAGGAAAACGUCCAAGGCAUAUUUUAUAGUGAUUCUUCUAUUUUCAUUGUAAUAGACUGGAGGCAAUCAAGAACCAGACAGAAUCAUUGGGUUUGAAGAUGCAGCUGAUAAUGUAUUGGAACUUCUCGGUGGGAAAAAACUGGUUCAAGGCAAAUCUGAUGGAGAGGAGCAGAGCAAUUCCGACGCAGAGCAGCACAGUGAGUCAAAGGAGCUAGAAAUAGCAUCAAUACAUGGAAUGCUUGGGCUAGGAAAGACAACACUCGCAAGAAAGGUCUUGAAUGACUUAAGAAUCGAGUAUCAUUUUUUUACUCGUUUAUUUGUCACUGUUUCAAAUGAAUACAACAAGAAAGAAGUGCUUCUUAGCAUACUAAGUGUCUUCAUCAAGAACAUUAGGGAGCAGGACAAGACGGUGGAACAAUUAGUUGACAUGGUCAAACACGAAUUGAAGUACAAGUAUUUGAUUGUCAUGGAUGAUGUUUGGCAAAAUGAAGUUUGGGAGGAUAUCAAAAAAUUUUUACCCGACAACAGCAAGGGCAGCAGGGUAUUAGUGACUACUCGAAUCGAGUCUGUGGCCAACUAUGUUGCAACAAAGACUAAACCAUAUAAAUUGCGGCUUAUGUUUACAGAAGAGGCUGAAGAAUUACUGAGGACCAAGGUUUUCGACGAAAAUACAUGUCCAGAGGAACUGGAAUCCAUUGAAAAGAAGAUUCUCGCUAAGUGUGACAGGCUACCACUGGCAAUAGUGGUAACAGCUGGUAUUCUUAGGAAUCAUCCAAAAGAUCUUACAUGGUGGGAAGAUGUGCUUAACGGUGUAGCUGAGUUAGUUGAUAAUAACCACCAAAAAAGGAUUGAUGAAUUAAUAAGACGGAGUUAUGAUAACUUGCCUGACAUACUCAAAUCGUGUUUUCUCUACCUUGGUGUCUUCCCUGAAGACUUGGAGAUCCCCGUGUCGAAAUUGUUGCAAUUGUGGAUCGCUGAGGGGUUUAUUCCCCAAUCUGAGAGAGCAAGCAUGGAAAAAAUAGCAGAGUUAUGUUUGAGGGAGUUGGUUGGCAGGAAUUUAGUGAUGGUGCGAAGGAGAACUUUAAGUGGUCGGAUUAAGACAUGUAUAAUCCAUGACACACUGCGUGACUUCUGCAAGAAGAUGGCCAAAGCAGAAAAUCUUUUCCAACAAGUUCACGUGGACACCAAUUCAUCUUCUGGCCGUCGCCUUACCUGUAUUAACUCUUACUUCCAAGAAUACGUUCAAAAAGAACAGCCUGCGGAGAAAGUCCGCUCAUUCUUGAGCUUUGGGGAAGAAACUACGUUGAGGAAGGAUCUUUGCUCAAAUAUAUGUAAGCACUUCAAACUACUCCGAGUGUUGGAUAUUUUAUCUGUCAAGCUUCCUGGUCGUUUUCCGGCCCAACUACCUAACCUUGUUCUCCUAAAGUUCAUUGCCAUCUGUUGUGAGCUCCAAAUCCUUCCCAAAAAGAUGUCCAGCCUGGUAAACUUGCAAACUCUUAUCGUUUACACAACCCACCCGACCCUCAGAAUAGAAGCUGACAUUUGGGGAAUGACAAAGCUAAGGCAUUUGCGUACCAAUACCUCCACAUUCUUGCCUGAGUGUUCAAGGCAAUGCUCUAGCAGUGAAAACCUACAAACUCUAUCUACUGUUGCACCUGAAUGUCUCACAAAUGAUGUGCUUGAGAGGACUAAGAAACUCAAGAAGCUUGGUAUACGUGGGAACUUGGGCACUCUUGUGAAGGCCAAUGGUGAGUCUCGUUUGUUUGACAUGCUCUGCGAACUAGUCUCCCUUGAGAAUCUGAAGUUACGGAAUGAUGAUGUAACUUCCAGGCUACUUGCUCUUCCUCCAGCACACAAAUUCCCAGCAAGAUUAACAAGGUU
RNAcentral lists this long non-coding RNA (84392 nucleotides) under Coffea arabica (coffee). Its description in RNAcentral is "long non-coding RNA (CARA_LNC007958)". The record is from RNAcentral. Lineage: Eukaryota; Viridiplantae; Streptophyta; Magnoliopsida; Gentianales; Rubiaceae.